This 75993-nucleotide long non-coding RNA is filed under the name Lathyrus oleraceus (garden pea). Its description in RNAcentral is "Pisum sativum (pea) long non-coding RNA (PSAT_LNC030789)". Lineage: Eukaryota; Viridiplantae; Streptophyta; Magnoliopsida; Fabales; Fabaceae. The record is from RNAcentral.
UUAAAGGCGAGGGUUCAAAUCCGCCACCGAUAGAGGAGAACAAAGUUUGGGGCUGCCGGCGAGCGACGGAGAGAGUACGAGUGAGGCGGUGUGUAUGUUGGUGUGGUGUAUCCAACGAUGGAUAUGGGCGGAUGGUAGGUGGUGAAGAAGAAGCGAAGACAGUGGGUGUGUGGGUUUCGCCGGUGGAGACGGACAGAGGGAGAUGAUGUCGGAAAGGGAGUAUUGGUUGUCCUCCUUUGUGGAAAAUGUGAAUAGUGUUGGUUAAAGGAAGAAGAUGAGUGAGGGUGGAAGUGUGAAGGGUUUGUUCGCGAGGAAGAUGAGAAUAAGCUUUUUUUGUUUCUGUUUUGACAGAUGAGAGGGUGAGGUAUUGAAUGGAGAGAGAGUCUAGUAGCCAAGAGAGAGGGAUAAGGUGUCCUUUUAUUUAUUUCUUUUCCAUGUUACCGUUGAAAGCUUUUUUUUCUCUUCUUUUCCAUCUUACCGUUGGAAGCUAUGCAUUGGAGAGAGAGAAUUUUUUUACUUAUUUUCAAAUUUUCUUAAAUAAUAAUAUUAAUUAAAUCCUAAUUUUGAUUGGAUUAAUGGGAUAAAUAUGGAUGGCUAAUAAUGGCCACUGAUUAAUUUGAACCGGUGGCUUGGAUUGAAUCAGAGAAACACACCAAGAAACAUACACUAUUUAAAUAAAUCAAAAUGCAUAUAAUGCCUUUUUUAGAUGAUUUAAUCGAUUUAAAACAAUUUAAAUCAAUUGAAUCAAAUAAAAUUCACAACUUUUUAAACAAUCAUGAUAAAAUUAAAAUAAUAACAUGGAAAAUUCUAUUUAUUCAAUCUGACUAUUUUGACGAAAGAACAAAAUUAAAAUGACUAAAAAUGAAUAAAAGUUGGGCGAAAAUUUGCUCGAAAAAUUAAAUCGGAUGCAUGAAAAUGAUCAGUGUGAAAUAUAUUUAUUGAAAAAUUACAGCGUGUUUUUAAAUUCUGAAAUAAAUUUGCAUCGGUUAAAAGACUCAGGCGGGUCAAAAUGCAACCGAAACAGUCGCUGAAAAAUAUAACGGGCACACCAGUUUAAACUACAUGAACCGUAUGUUAAUAAUACUGGCGUCUGCAAUUUUAAAUUUGAGACUUUUUAUCUGCUGAUUUUGUCCGUACUUGAGAAAAGAUUCAACCGAUUUGUCUGUAUUUUCAAGAAUUUAUUCUGACUGAUAUUUUAGGUUUUAUUCAUGAUGAAAUGCAUGUCAUGCUGUGCGUAUCGUGCAAAUUAAAAAUGGAAUCAGAUUUACGAAAAUUUAAAUAUGGUCGGACAAAAUUGGGGUAUGACAAUGGUGGUGGAGAAUAUGUGUCGAAAUAUUUCGAUGCAUUACGUGUGAAAGAAGGGAUUGUGCAUGAGGUUGUGCCACCAUACACUCAACAGCAAAAUGGAGUCACAUAAAGGAAUAAUAGAACCAUUAUGAAUAUGGUUAGAAGUAUGUUGAAAGGCAAGUAUCUACCCAAAGAGUUAUGGGGAGAAGCUGUGUCGACAUCGACAUAUAUCCUGAACAGAUGUCCAACGAAAAAGCCUAGCUUGAGUCAUCUGUGGGUGUUUGGAUCUAUAGCACAUAGACAUGUGCCAGAUCAGUUAAGAAGAAAACUUGAUAACAAGUCGAGUCAGAUGAUCCUCAUAGGAUAUCAUUCAAUUGGAGGAUACAAGUUAUUCGACCCAAUGAAUAAGCAAGUAGUGAUCAGUAUGGACGUGAUCAUAAAUGAGCUUAAGGAGUGGGAUUGGAUUGAGAAUGUCAAGAGAGAUUCAGUGAGAAUCUUUUAUGAUGAACCAGCUAGUGAAGUCGAAAAAAAAGUUCGACAGGAAGAAGUCAGAGGUGAAGCAGGCCCAAGCAGAUAUCAAAGAACAAGACACAUGGCUACAAGGUUGCAAGAAUGUAUGAUUACAUCAGAUGAUAUGGUUAAUGAAGAAUGUGAGCUGGUAUAUUAUUCUUUCUACGCAGAUGUUGAACCCGUCAAUGCAGCUAAGGCAUUGAAAGAUUCGAAGUGGAUGAAAGCAAUGGACGAAGAGCUGAAGUCAAUCAAAGUCAAUAACACAUGGUCACUUAUCGAAUUGCCCCAAAACAAGAAGGCAAUCGAUGUGAAGUGGGUAUACAAGGUGAAGCGAAUCCCAAAGGAAAGGUGACUCGACACAAGGCGAGACUUGUGGCAAAAGGAUUUCUUCAGAAAGAAGGAAUCGACUUCGAUGAAGUUUUUGCACCUGUUGCUAGGAUCGAAACAAUCAGGUUGGUUGUUGGUCUAUCAAAGAUGAACAACUGGCAAAUGUGUCAGAUGGAUGUGAAAUGUGCAUUCCUUAAUGGCCCCUUAGAAGAAUAAGUUUAUCUUGCACAACCAACUGAGUUUGUGAAACAAGGCGAAGAAAGAAAGGUGUACAGGUUGCAUAAAGCCCUGUACGGACUUAAACAAGCUCCAAGAGUUUGGAACAAGAAGAUAUAUGGCUUUAUAAGGGAGAAUGAAUUUAUGAAGUGCACAAGUGAACAUGGUGUAUAUGUAAGAAGAAGCAAGAGUGAAUUUCUUAUACUAUGUCUCUAUGUCGAUGGCCUGUUGAUAACAGGUAGUUGCAAGAAGGAGAUCGAAGACUUUAAAAGUGAUCUCAACAAGGAAUUUGAAAUGUCAGAUCUGGGUGACAUUUCAUAUUUCCUUGGCAUUGAAUUCUACAAGAGUGGUAAAGGUUUGAUGAUGCAUCAAAGAAGGUAUGCAAACGAAAUACUCAAGAGAUUUGAUAUGCAAGAUUGCAACCCAACUUUGACUCCAGCUGAACCCAUAUUACAACUGUCGAAAUAUUCAGAUGAAGAUGAUGUCGACCCAACCCAAUAUAGAAGACUUAUUGGGUCACUUCGAUACCUUUGUCAUACAAGGCCUGACUUAGCAUACAAUGUAGGUAUGGUGAGUAGGUGUCGCAUUACGCGAAAAACCGGCGGGAAAACGAAACAACAGAGCCGCCACCGUGCGUUAUUUAUCCCAAAGGAGGGAAAGGAAACGCUCGAAGUAAACCUGGGAAAGACAUGGUCUCGCGACCGGAAUCCGGUCGCGAGACCAUGUCUUUCCCAGGUUUACUUCGAGCGUUUCCUUUCCCUCCUUUGGGAUAAAUAACGCACGGUGGCGGCUCUGUUGUUUCGUUUUCCCGCCGGUUUUUCGCGUAAUGCGACAGCUGGCGACUUUGCUGGGGAUAGAAUAGCCUUUAAACCUGCUACCCUACUGCUGGGGAAUAACAAUUCUAAUAGCUUUCAGACUUGCUUGGGGAACAACCAUUCUCAAGCCUGCUGGGGAGACAUCCUCAACCAUUAGGAACAAUUUACCCACCGACACCUCUACUAGGGAUAUGGCAACCUUCAGGCUCGUUGGGGAGACACCGAUCUCGAAUCUGCUGUGGAGAUAACACUCCCAAAUCCACUGGGGAGAUACGACUUAUUUGACAUGGAACGCCCAUCGAUUCGUCGAACACCGGCAUUCAUUAUCUAACCACAGUGUCAACUUUCCACUCUUGAGAGACUCCCAGACUCAUCCGGUCUUUUCGGAUCCAUCACCCAGUAUUCUCGUCUCUUCCUUGCUUUGAGACGAAUGAUCUCCUCAGAUCCGGGCAAACUCUCCAAUCUUCAUACUUUGAAGAGUCUUCUUGAUUACCCUCUAGGAUCGUCAUCGCAAUUCUUUCAUCUCUUCACUGUUCUUCUAUCCCUUGCCCCUGAUUGGGCUCUGCAAGGAUCUUCUGUCAAAGUGUUACCCAUCACAAACUGCAAGUGGGUGGAUAUAUCUAACAGCACCUGCACAAGAGAUCGUUAUAUAAAAGCAUGCCCCAGGCGUGCCAACAUUUCAACACCUAGGUCACUCAAACUUCCGAAUAAGAUUUCCAGAUUUCAAUCUUAUAAGAAUGCAUCGGAAGGGACCUCUAUGUUUCAAAAUGCAAAUAUUCUUAUAAAAAAUAAACGGAUGUUUUCGCAAUCAAAGCGGUAAUGAAGACAAAAACAAAAUUAUUUGACUGAACAUGCAUUUAUUGACUGAAAAAGGUGGCUCAAAACCGAGCAACACACAGGAAGCAAUCCCUGGAAAGAGGUGAUCGCGCACAAAGGAAAAAUCUAUCCAAUGGCAAUGUGAAACUGUGAUCCAUCUCAUCGGUUUCAACUCGGUUACACCCCAUAUGUCCUCAAGACUUUCCGCACUUUCUGUCUUCUGAACAAGACGCUUUACUCGAUCGAUCGUUAACCAAAAUAUCAACGAUUAUGCUGGACGCAGUUGUUCGUUUCAAUCCCUCUUUUGCCUGGACCGCCCUUUCGGGUUUUCAGUCCACCGGGAUACCCUUUUUUGCCCAAGCCGCCCUUGUGGAGUUUUCGACUUGCCGGGUGUACAGUUUUUCCUUUUAUCCCUAAUUUUUUCCCGAACCUUUUCCUUUUCUUUUGGUUCGCCUGGAUGCCCAUUUUUGCCUGGACUCUUUUAUUCUUUUCAUCCAGCGGGUCUCUUUUACGAAGUAUCUUUUAACUGCGUUCGCAUUCACAGGGGAUGGAAAAUCCUCACCAUCCAUGGUCGUCAACAACAAGGCUCCACCAGAGAACGCCUUCUUGACCACGAAUGAGAUCCAUAACUGUAUGUCCACUUGCCCCUACGAUCGUCUUGAGGAGGAAAGAUCCUUUUCAACAACACGUCUCCCACAUGAUACGCACGAAGUUGCACUUUUCAGCCACAAGCACGUUUCAUUCACUGGGUACAACUGCUCAUGACAAAUAACUGCCAGUCCCUUUUUUCAAUCGGGCUCCCUUCAUACCGAGUCCUUAUCCACUCGGCCUUUUCUAAUUUUACGCCCACCAGGACUCUCCAUGAUGGGAUCUAGACCUCAGCAGGUAAUACCGCUUCUAUCCCAUACACGAGCGAGAACGGCGUUGCCCCAGUAGACGUACGCACCGAAGAUCGAUACCCAGGAUACAAGCUUCAUACUCAGCCACCAUUGUUGGUGCAUUCAAAUGUUAUCCGGGCAACAAAAGAAAUGUGGGAUCUUUUCGGCGUAACCAAAACGGCACUAACUCAUCCACAUUAACCUCUCCCCAUCAGACAUCAGAAUCUGUUCGGAUUCAGGGUCAGACCCCUCCUCCGGGAUCGGUUCCUCACAAUCUUUCGAUUUGAGCACCUCGAGAUGUCCUCAUCAGGGAACUCAAACUUCCUUGGUUGAUAAUCCUCAAUGGGUUGCGUGGCGAGGUAAUCAGACAGUACACUCCCCUUGAUUGCCUUCUGAGAGGUGUAUUGAAUAUCGUAUUCAGUCAACAUCAUUUGCCCUCUCGCCACCCGUCCGGUCAAUGCUGACUUCUCAAACGCAUACUUGAUCGGAUCCAUCUUGGACAUCCACAAAGUGGUAUGAACCAGCAUAUACUACAACAUCAUUUGCCCUCUCGCCACCCGUCCGGUCAAUGCUGACUUCUCAAACGCAUACUUGAUCGGAUCCAUCUUGGACAUCCACAAAGUGGUAUGAACCAGCAUAUACUGUCUCAGUCGGCGAGCAACUUAUGCCAAAGUACAAUAAGUUUUCUCGAGCAGUGAAUGUAUUGUUUCACAGUCGGUAAACUCUUUGCUAAGGUAAAUUGCAUGCUCUUUUCGACCAGACUCGUCAUGCCGACCCACUACACACCUCAUAGACCCCUCGAGGGCUGUCAAGUACCAGAUUAAUAGUUGUUCCUUCCACAGGAGGCAUCAGAAUCAGAGGUUCCUGCAACUUAUUCUUUUAUCUUUCAAUGCCCCUUGGCAAUCAUUAUUCUACCUGACCUUUUGAUCUCUCUUUUUUCUUGAAUGGGUUCCCACGUGGCUAUUAGAUGAGAUAUGAACCAUGAAAUGCAAUUCAAUCUAUCUAAGAAACCACGAACCUUCUUUUGUUUUCGGUUCAGGCAUUUCUUGUAUUGCUUUUUUCUUUGUCUUUUUUUUAGCAGGACAACACUCCACCAGUGCACUGAUUCGGACUCAACCUCAGUCUGAGCUGUCUCAAACGGUCGAACGACUUGCCCCGGCCUACCGGAUGCCCCAUCUUCUGCUUGGGGCUUUGCUAUCAUGUCAUGAUCAUAGCAUUCGAUUCCACGAUGAAUCAUAUCAUGAAACAAAGUCACCAUAGACCUUUGAUACGUGGCACCGGCCUUCUUGAGACUGAAUGGCAUCACCUUAUAACAAGAAGGUGCUCUCUGAUGUGAUGAACAAUGUUUACUCCAUAUCAUCUGGCAAUAAAUCAAUUUGAUUUCGGCCAAAAAAACCAUCCAUGAAGGAAAACACCGAGAACUGAGCAGUAUUAUCAUCCAACAUAUCAAUGUGAUCAUACUUCAGACUGGCUCUGUUCUCAUCUCGGUAGUCCACACACAUUCUCACCUUCCCAUCCUUUUUCGGCACCGGCUUCUGCUUCACUGGAGGACAGUCUUCUCUUAAUGCUAGCUUGUGCCCCAUAACAUUGGUAUUCCACCCUGGCAUAUCCUGAUACAACCAGGCGAAGAUAUCAACAUGUUCUUUCAGCAGUACUACCAUUCUACUAUUGACACUUGCCUCUGAAGCGGCCCCAACUUUCACUUCCUUUCUGACCUCGGCGGUGCCUGGAAUAACAAUCUUGAAUCGCUCCUCAUCCUGUUAAAUCACCCUCUCCUCUUGUUUCAACAACCUGGCUAAUUUCAGCAGAUCACAAUCUUCUUCGCCCUAUUCUUUGGCAUGAUGGAUCGGAUUGUCGAAGUCAUACAGAGGUGUAACCGAAUUGUUAUCAAUGAGAUCAGGAGGAUAGUCUCUUUUGAGGUCGGAACAAGACGAAUCAAAAGGAAAGAAGAAUGAAAAUAAACAUUGCCAUUUUUAUUUUUAUAUUUUUAACUGCAAAAAUAAAUGAAAGACAGGGAACACCGCCUUUAAUCACAAAAACAUCCAUUUAUUAAUGAUGCAAAAUGUUGCACAAUGAAACACAUGAGAUGGCCCUUACAAUGGACCAUUACGUUUCAGGCAAAACGUAUGGCUUUCAUGCAAACAGAAUUGAAAAACAGAAAUACUACUCUUCAUGAUGAGUGACAGUGAUUAUCUUUGAGGCCUUCCAGUUCCCUGGUACGCACGAUUUUAUCCACAACUCAAGCUCGCGGUCACUGUCAAUCUCUUCACCCACUGUACAGGCGUGACCUGGAUCCAGCAUUCCGGCACUGACAAAUGUGAACGGUUGACAACGUCCUCUAUUUUGUCUAGACGACUCUUGAUCUGGCUGAUAGCCAACCCCGAACAUAUCCGCUUUCACCACAAUGUCUAUGAUCUUCCCCCAGCCUAGGGCUUCUCCGUUCUUCACCACUUCCAUGGCCCUGUUUUGUAAGAAGAAAUGGACAGCUUCUUCUCUUUAUGCAAGCACAGAUGGCCCUCUCCACCUUGACGGUUUCAACUGCCUGACUUGGUGUUUCAAAUUUUUCACCGUCCAUUUCUACUUCCAUCAUCCUCUGAAUCGUUUCCCCCAUCACUACACACCCGUUUGUGGCGACAGCCGCACAACAGUUAUCAACACUAGGGAAUGCUCCACUCUUCAUCAGAUGUUUUAGGACCACAGACUUUGGAAUUUUUAACUGAUCCCCAUUAGUCACCUCUAUUCCUCUCUUGUCCCUUGACAUCACUUUCACCUCUACAGGACCUGGCACGGGGUUGGCGUUAACAUUCAGUAUCUGUGCCAAACUGAUAGCCUUAGAAUCCACCAUAUCUUGGACGACAUGCUUAAAGGCUCUACAACCCUCAAUGUUAUGUCUUGGUGCCCCAGAAUGGAACUCGCACUUGGCAUUCUCAUCGUAGUUUGCAGGCCUCUGAUGCAGUUCUACAGGAACCAAUAUCCUUGGCCGAACUAACCCAAGAUCCCUCAAACUCUUGAGCAGAAGGGUAUAAGUCACGGGUGGCUUAUCAAACUGACGAUCCGUCGCCCCCUUCUUCACUUCGCCCUUAGCUUUCGGUGCCUUUUGUUGAGGUAGCGGUUGUUGCUGUUGUACAGGUGGAUUACCAAUAGGAGUGAUUAGAGUGGCAGCAUAAGGGUGGUAACGAUCCUUACCGCGUUCUUUCUUGGCCUGCACACCACCUGAUUCAACUUCCUUCUUGAGUUGACCACUGUCAGAGGACUUCUUUACUACGGACGACGGAGCCUUUCCCUGAACUUUCUCCUUUAUCAUCCAGCUUUCAAUCCUAUCCAACCUCUCAGUAAUUGCUUUCUGCCCCAAGGCGAGCCCUUGCACGACUUUGAACAACUCCCUCAUCAUCUCUUUCAAUUCGAGAAUGUCGGUGUUAGACGGAUCCAUCAGUCUGAGUUUGUUGAGUUUGGCAGGAUGUCUGAACGGAAGAGCUAUGCGCACUGGUUAGAUACUGACACCUACAAAACAACAAACAAGUUAAUAUGACUCACACGUGCAAUGUCUAUCCGUACUAGGAAUAUUCUGUCCUUCUGAUUCUGGCUUCCUCGAGACGGAUAAUAUUUUAACAAUAACAUUCUGUCAUCAGGAUGUCUCUCAACCAGAAUCUCAAUCAAAAAUGGACCCUGAGUACGGAUAGACAUGGGUUAAAUGCAGAUGGAUGCGAAAUGGGAAUGAUGCAAAUGCAUGCAGGCAGGUCACUGUGCCAUCUUCCAAGUCAACUGAGGAUCAACUGUACUGGACCGGUCUCUGAACUGAUUACAAUCAUCUGAGGGCCCGAGUAACCAUAAAUCCAACUUGGGGAGUUCCGAAAUAAAUAGAACCAGGGGAUAUACCACUAUUAUCACAAGAAAUCCACUGAACGAAUGACAACCAGAUCCUCUGAACAAUUAUCCUCAAAUUCAACCCGGGAAUCCGAAAUAAACGGAACCCGCUGAUAAAUAUCACGGACAGAAUUCCGGCAUCUCAGAGAUAGAUAUCCAUAAGUCCAUCUGAACCAUAAUCACCAUCAGUACCUGCAAAUGAUUCAAUCCCUCCCCACUCACGGGUGUCAUCUAGGCCAAGGUAAGGUCAAGAGAAACGCAGGAUAAAUAACCCUUUCAAAGAUAUCAUCAUGUACAAACCAGAUGUAUGCACCGAUAAUACCCCAUCAGAGUCUGAACUGAAGGAGAAUUGCGGUCCAAAACGCAGCGGAAAUUAAAAUUUCUCCUUUAGAGAUCCUUACGAAUGGUCAUGAUCAGUGAUAGAAUGUUUACCUCUUGUGAUGAUCGAAACCUUUGGUGCAGAUCUCUGUCGAUCAAAACCUUUGAUGCAGAUCCACGAAGCGAUCACGAACGUUGAACGAUGACAACGUCUCUACUCAGUCCACACGAACGGGUUCCUUCAAUCUUAGUGCUAGUUGGUACGAAUGAAGGCUUGAGCGAGAGAGAGAGAGAGAGUGAGAGAAACGAAAAUAAUGCAACCGCUAUUAAUGCUUCUGCACAAGGUUCUAUUUAUAGAACCACUUGUGUGGGUUCAAGCUAAAAAGCCCACUUAAGUGUAUUUUGGCCCAUAUCUUACAAUAUGCCCAAAAUCACUUAAGCCCAUGGUACCUUACUAUUUCGUAUAUCUACUCAAGUACACCGUACUUACGAUGUUCUAUAACUCAUUUAAGGGCACCGUACCUUACGGUAUUCCUUAGUACUCUAUCUCUCAUCAAUCCGUCCUUUGUGUGUGACCCUGUAGGUUUUCGUGACGUUGCAAUUAUAUUAAAUCACGCAUUAACAUAAUAAACAGUGAGCGGUAUCUAGCAACACAUCACUGCUACCCAAGACACGAAAAUGUCAUGUGAUCUGACAAAACCUUUUGUGAUAAUACUUAUGUGUAUAAUUACCUUUUGCCCUUAUGUCUAUAUUGAACACAAGGCAUAGACGUGUCAUCCUUGUCUAGUUCAAUAUUGGGCCCAUGACAUUUAUCCUGUUAUGCAGGAUGGGCAAAUUCCAUCUAGGGUCACUCAUGUCCCUCAGCAUGCUUCGUGGAGUACCCAUCAACUGUCUUUAUGGUUAUCCAGUUACGGACAACGUUGGAUCAGCAAUAAAGCACUUAACUCUACAUCUAGGAUCCAUAGUGGUUUCAGGUCGAAGAGUGGAAUACACUAUUAUCACCAUGAGAAUAACUUAUGACACUAUGCAUAACUUUCUAUAUAGUAUUCUCAUAGCGGGUCAAUCCGGUAUAAAUAUUACUCCUAAUAUUCAUACCUAUGUUUAAGACUUGAAACUCUUUAUCCAUGAUCCAUGAGAUGUGAUCAUCAGUCUACAAACAUAAUAGUCUUAAUGCUUUAAUGUUAUCCCACUUCACACUAAAGCUCGACUACGGAUACUUUAAGAAUAGUGUCCUUAUGUUUAAUGUGUUCUCAGAUUAAGUCACACUUAAUACAUUAACGGACUAUCUAUUCCAGGGACUUUAUUAAUCAACCAUAAUAAAGAAAAUGCCUUUAUUAUUAAUAAAUAAUUCGAUACAAGUACCAAAAAUGUUGGCCUCUAGGGCUUACACCAACAAUCUCCCACUAGCACUAGAGCCAAUCAGGCUACCCGUAUGCCCAUUGAUCUAGUAUGGCCAUCAUGCUUCUGCUGCGCAAGAGGCUUUGUCAGUGGGUCAGCUAUAUUGUCAAGUGUAGGUACUUUACAUAUUUUCACAUCUCCUCUAUCUAUUAUCUCUCGAAUGAGAUGAUAACGCCUGAGAUGUGUUUGGAUUGUUGGUGAGAUCUAGGCUCCUUGCUUGUGCGAUAGCACCAUUGUUAUCAUAAUAGAGACCAAUGGGAUCCACAAUGCUAGGACUAUGCCAAGUUCACUAAUGAACUUUUGAUCCAACAAACUCCCUUUUCUGCAUUUGAGGCAGCAAUAUACUCGGCCUCGAUUGUAGAAUCAGCAACUGUAUCUUUGCUUUGAACUUUUCAAGCUCACAGCGCCACAUUUAAGCAAAACACAUAAUCAUUGGAAUCAUUCAUAUUAAAGCGUCUCAGCACCUUGUCUAUGUACUCUGACUUAGGCAAGCAUUUCAUGAUCUAUCUCUAUAGAUUCUAAUUCCUAAUAUAUAGGCUGCUUCACCUAGGUCGUUCAUAGAAAAGCAUUUCCCAACCAAGACUUUAUUUGUUGCAGGGUAGUGACAUCGUUUCCAAUGAGUAAUAUUCAUCUACAUAAUAUCAGGAAAACGAUCAUGCUCCCACUAACUUCUUGUAGACACAAGGCUCAUCUUCGUUCUUGAUGAAUCCAUAUUGUUUUACUGUUUCACAAAACGAAGAUUCCAUGAGUAGGUCACAGGCUCAUCUUGAUCCAUGAGUAAUACAUCACCUUGAUCAGAUAUCCAUAUAUUCAGGUGGUACGUAUCCUGCGCUGACCGUGGUCUUGCUCUACUUGAGCAGGUUGCUCUUACAAACUACUUGUGUUUCCUGCUCAAUUCUUCCAUAGGUGUGUCGAUGUUUGUGAUUCUUGAAUUUCUUCAAGCUUACUUUCCUCCACUGGUUCCUUUGGAAAUAAAAUUAUUUCUAGGAAAACUCCAGUUCGAGUGACAAACACUUGCCCUCAGAAGGAUUGUAGAAGUAAUACCCUCUUGUUUCUUUAGGAAUACCCCACAAAAAGCAUUUUUCAGAUUUGGCUCAAGCUUAGUUGAAUUUGUCGUUUCACAUAAACCUCCACCCAAAUCUUUAUGUAAGACAUAUGUGUUUCUUACCACAUCCAUAUCUCAUUAUGGUGUCUUCUCACCUUUUGGAUGGACAUGUUAAAGUGUGUAAGUUGUUGUCAAUGUCCCCAAAAGGAGUUUGAAGAUCGGCGUGACUCAUCAUGGAUCAGCACCAUGUCUAACAGUUCGAUUUCUUCUCUCAGAUAACCAUUCCAUUGGGGGUUCCAGGAGGAGUAAGUUGGGAUAGGAUCCACACUCUUUCAGAUGGUCAUCAAACUCUAGCUUAAAUACUCACCACCUCGAUCUGAUCGAAGAGUUUAAUAUUCUUACCUAGUUGGUUUUAACUCGUCAAGUUUCACCUUUUAGUAUUAAUGUUAUUAAUAGGCAUUCGAGAUCAAGGACAUAAAGUCCAUUGCUCAUUUGUGCAGUAGCAUAGAAUAUAUCAUUCAAAUAAAUUGAGCACAAUUGUUUUAUUAUAAAUGAAAAACCAAACUUGUCCAGACAAGAAAUGGAAAUAAUAUUCUGCUAAUUGCAGGUACAUAAUAACAGUUCUCUAACUGAAUUAUAAAACCACUAGGUAAAGUCAAAUACAUAGAUCCUCUACGGCUAAAGUAGCAACCUUUGCUCCAUUGUCAACUCGUAAGUCACUUCACCUUUGCCAAAUCUCUACUCCCUUUCAGCCCCUGCACAUUGUACAAUGUGAGAACUGCAUCCAGUAUCUAAUACCCAUGAUGCAGAAGUAGAUAAAUUAUAACAAAAAAUACCUUAAGUUGAAGUCUCUACUCCAUUCUUCUUAUCUCCAGGUAUUUGGGCAGGUUCCUUUCCAGUGUCCUGUCUUACCGCAAUGUAAGCAGUGCCUUCUUUUGCUAUGCCUCCACUAGGCUUCAAAGCCAGUAGUGUGUCUGGGAUUGGCAACUUUCUUGCCCUUCCUUAUCACUCUGCUUAGUGGGCUUUUGUUCUGUCUCUUCCAUUUCUGAUCAUCAGAAUGGAUUCCUUUUGACUUCACGAUUCUGCUCGGCAGUCUUAACAUGGCGAGCAGUUCAGGAGAGAUUUAUCCAUAUCAAUACAUAUUGAAAUUUAGGACAAAUUGACUGAAAGCUAUCUGGCAACGAUUGCAAGAUCAAUCAGUUGUAAGUUCCUUUUCGAGGGGAAAACCAUAUCUCAAGGUUUUCCACAUACCCAUCAUCUGAGUACACUGGGGACCUACAGGGCUCCCUCAGCUAACUUGCUUUUGAAAAGGGCUUUUUGAAUUCAACCCUCUCAUGCCUUGCUUACUCUUGGAUAGAGCAUCUUCAGGUGUUCGAUCAUAUCGAACGCUGACAUGUUCUCCUGUUGCUUUUGUCAAUUUCUGAGUUCAUGGUUAGCCAGUCAUGAGACAAGCAGUUCAUUGCAUCAUCGACAUGCUUCUUAUAAGCAUCUCUUCUGCUUAGUGCAGAACUAGGAGUUCCUCUUCAGAACAGUGUCUCCAAGAUUACAGCUUUUAUCAUGUUUGAGGACAAACUCAGUUUCGUGCCAAUCCAGAAAAUUUGUCCCAGACAAUUUUUCCUUGCGAAGGAUUGAUCGCAAGAUGUUGUUAGAGUGGUUUGCUGUCACGGUUUACUACAAAGGAUUAAGAAAAUAUAAGUAUCAUUGACAUAUUUAAUUAGCCUUAAUCAAUAUUGCCUCCACUAUUUUACUCAAACAAUGACCCUCAUCAUUUGAUUCGGAAUCCGUUGGAAGAUUUUCUAGUGGGUCGAGAUCAUAUUUCACUUCGUUCUAAGUCGCGUAGGCGGAUACACAAAACUAGGUUAUUUAGGUAGAACUCCUUCCAAUUGUAUCUCAUACAACUCUCGAAAAUUUAGUUGGGUGAAUAACUCCUAUUCGAAUCCAUCAUAUGAUCUUCCCACUCUUUGCUUCUAAAAUAUAUGAUAUUAUUAUAAUUAAGUUUGACCAUUGUCUUAGCAGUUGGAUAUUACAAUUAUCCCACUGCACCUUACUAAUAUAGAACAUGCACCUCGCUUGGUGAAACCUACAUUAUCCAUACUAGUUCUUGAUGAGUGCUAAACUUGGAAAGCAAAACAUAUAAAUAUCAUCAUAAUUGUUUAGUUAAGUUUGACCAUUGUUUUAACAUUGGAUAUAUACAAUUAUCCAUCGCACCUUACUAAUAUAGAACAUGCACCUCGCUUUGGCGAAACCUACAUAUCCGAUAUAGUCUUGAUGAGUGCUUAAAACUUGGAAAGCAUAAACUAAUAUUUAGUUUGAGGAAUUGCAAUAUUGUUAUGAUCUCACCGCUUAUUUAUCAUAUAAAUCGUCUCUCACAUGCAUCAACUACAUUCACAUGCAUCAACAUAACAUACACAAUGAACAGUUAUGCCCUAGCGCAAUUGUUUCCCAAGCAUGAGAGAACCUAAGCUAACCUAAUAACGAUCUAGCUUCUCCAAGCAAGAUCUUCAAGGUUGUCCUCCUUAGAUUGAAUUCUUCUCUAAGCUUCUCCAAGCAGAUCUCAGGUUGUCCUCCUUUGAUCUUGAAUUCUUCUCUUUCUUCAUAACAUUGUUUCUUCUCUUUCCACAGUAUUACAUUCCAGAGAAACUCGUUUUACAUACGAGGGUUUGAGAUGAGAAAAGAAGUUACAUAAGAAUCAAAAGGAGAGGCACGACACGCAGGUCGUAUUUAAAAAACCCAAAACAAAAUAAAGGAUAACUAAGGCCAUAACUGAUCACCACAAGACAAUAAUAACAAACACAUUAUUAUUAUUAUUAAUUUUUAAUUUCUUUAAUUAAUUAAAACCAAAUCAAAUUUCGGCGACCGAUCACACUACGCAGAGUUAGCCGGGGGUUCCGCUGUCCAAAAUUUUAAUGAACAAUUCAUUUGAAAUGGACAUUGUUUUUGCAUCAACACAACUCUUGCGUAGGCACAAAAAUAGAAACCCCAAAAUUUUGACUCUGUGAGUGUGAUGACCGUCACAGGCCAUGUGAGUGUGACGACCAUCACACAAAACACGUUACGACCGUCACAGGGCCAAAAACAGAAACGCCUAGUUUUCUAGACUUGUGAAUGUGACGACCGUCACAAAGCACGUGACGACCGUCACGCCCAUCAUGUUACGACCGUCAUGGGUCUGUUACGAACGUCACGCGUCUUGUUACGACCGUUACGCAUCCAAAAUAACAGAACUUUGAAACAGUCUACCGACCUGUUCCAAAACCCUAAAUUCACAACUCCUUGACGGCACAACCCUUGCGCCGUCACCAACCCUAAUGCGCCAAUUUCAGACCGUCAAACACACCUCGAUUAUUGAUUCAGUAUGAUUGAUCAACAGGUCAUUGCUUCACCAUACUAAUGUCGGAUUCCGAAGCAAAUGACCAUUGAUCGCUCAAAGGAAAACAAUCAUUUAGUGUUCGAAUGAACGAAACAGAAACAGUAUAUCACAUAUACCGUACUUUGCAUUAGGAUUACUUAUAUCAUAUAUAAGUUGAUCGGUCUCAAUUGCGUAACCUAUGGACGAUCGAUGUAUCGCUGCUUCACCAUACUAAUGUCGGAUUCCGAAGCAUAGUCAACAUCAAUCAUCCAACUCGUACACUCAUGAUGCCAAAUUUAAUUACUCGUUUAAUUAAUUGAUUCAUUCUGUCUUUUAAUCAUAUUAAUACAGAAAAUAAACAGCUAUCCGAGUCAUGGUUUCGUAAGUGGCUCUGAUACCACUGAAGGAGAAUUGCGGUCCAAAACGCAGCGGAAAUUAAAAUUUCUCCUUUAGAGAUCCUUACGAAUGGUCAUGAUCAGUGAUAGAAUAUUUACCUCUUGUGAUGAUCGAAACCUUUGGUGCAGAUCUCUUGUGACGAUCAAAACCUUUGAUGCAGAUCCACGAAGCGAUCACGAACGUUGAACGAUGACAACGUCUCUACUCAGUCCACACGAACGGGUUCCUUCAAUCUCAGUGCUAGCUGGUACGAAUGAAGGCUUUGAGUGAGAGAGAGAGAGAGAGAAAAAGAGAGAGAGAGAGAGAGAGAGAGAGAGAGAGAGAGAGAAAACGAAAAUAAUGCAACCGCUAUUAAUGCUUCUGCACAAGGGUUCUAUUUAUAGAACCACUUGUGUGGGCUUCAAGCUAAAAGGCCCACUUAAGUGUAUUUUGGCCCAUAUCUUAUAAUAUGCCCAAAAUCACUUAAGCCCAUGGUACCUUACCAUAUUUCGUAUUCUACUCAAGUACACCGUACCUUACGAUGUUCUAUAAUUCACUUAAGGGCACCGUACCUUACGGUAUUCCUUAGUUACUCUAUCUCUCAUCAAUCCGUCCUUUGUGUGUGACCCUGUAGGUUUUCGUGACGUUGGCAAUUAUAUUAAAUCACGCAUUUAACAUAAUAAACAGUGAGCGGUAUCUAGCAACACAUCACUGCUACCCAAGACACGAAAAUGUCAUGUGAUCUGACAAAUCCUUCUGUGAUAAUACUUAUGUGUAUAAUUACCCUUUUGCCCUUAUGUCUAUAUUGAACACAAGGCAUAGACCGUGUCAUCCUUGUCCAGUUCAAUAUUGGGCCCAUAGACAUUUAUCCUGUUAUGCAGGAUGGGCAAAUUCCAUCUAGGUCACUCAUGUCCCUCAGCAUGCUUCGUGGAGUACCCAUCAACUGUCUUUAUGGUUAUCCAGUUACGGACAACGUUGGAUCAGCAAUAAAGCACUCGACUCUACAUCUAGGAUCCAUAGUGGUUUCAGGUCGAAGAGUGGAAUACACUAUUAUCACCAUGAGAAUAACUUAUGACACUUUGCAUAACUUUCUAUAUAGUAUUCUCAUAGCGGGUCAAUCCGGUAUAAAUAUUACUCCUAAUAUUCAUACCUAUGUUUAAGACUUGAUAACUCUUUAUCCAUGAUCCAUGAGAUGUGAUCAUCAGUCUACAAACAUAAUAGUCUUAAUGCUUUAAUGUUAUCCCACUUCACACUAAAGCUCGACUACGGAUACUUUAAGAAUAGUGUCCUUAUGUUUAAUGUGUUCUCAUGAUUAAGUCACACUUAAUACAUUAAACGGACUAUUUAUUCCAAGGACUUUAUUAAUCAACCAUAAUAAAGAAAAUGUCUUUUAUUAUUAAUAAAUAAUUCGAUACAAGUACCAAAAAUGUUGGCCUCUAGGGCUUACACCAACAUGAACUGCUCGUGAUAUCAUGUUCCGCUAAGUGGCGCUAUACCACCCGCUUCCCAUGGAUCACUCUAUUCCUAGGUAUCCUAGAGUUCAAUCAUAGCCUGGGUAUUGGGCCUUUUACCUCUUGUAACUCCCACUCCACAAAGAGACAGACACACAGCCAGCACAAUAAUAAUAUGAUGCAUGCAAACACAUAAUGCACAUAUAUACAAUCACAUCAUAAUCAUAAAUGCAAUAAAUAAAACAGUAAAAGCAACCAACAACUAUCCUAAAGAACGCUAGGAUUGACUCGCUUAGGGAAGAUGGACCAGCAAGAGGUCAACUUCUCGGAUAAUCCCCAGCAGAGUCGCCAGCUGUCGCAUUACACGAAAAACCGGCGGGAAAACGAAACAACAGAGCCGCCACCGUGCGUUAUUUAUCCCAAAGGAGGGAAAGGAAACGCUCGAAGUAAACCUGGGAAAGACAUGGUCUCGCGACCGGAGAGAGAUGGGAUUGGGAGUCGGUUAUGCGUAGGUUCAUGCAGAAGCCAAAGGUAUCACAUCUAGCAGCGGCGAAGAGGAUACUAAGGCAUCUGAAAGAAACUCUCGACUAUGGAAUUUUGUUUCCUGCAGCUGAUGAAGGAAAAAAAUGCAAAUUAGUGGGAUACACCGACUCAAGUUGGUGUAGUGAUGCUGAGGAUCGAAAAUCCACAGCUGGCUAUGUGUUUAUGCUAGGUGGUGCACCAGUUGCUUGAAGUUCGAGAAAGGAACCAGUAGUGGCAUUAUCGUCGUGCGAAGCAGAAUACAUAGUUGCUUCUCUUUGUGCAUGUCAAGAAACGUGGAUGGUGAAUCUGGUCGAAGAAAUAACAACGAAGAGUCAUGGAGCAAUUACCAUGAAGAUCGACAACAUGUCAGCUAUCAAUCUGGUGAAGAAUCCGAUAACACAUGGUUUAAGCAAGCACAUCGAGAUGAGGUUCCAUUAUCUUCGAGAGCAGGUAGCAGAUGAGAAAAUGAAUGUGGAACACUGCAGAAUUGAGAAUCAGAUUGCAGACAUCAUGACAAAGGGAGUGCAGGUCGAAGUGUUCAGAAUACUAAGAGCUAUGAUGAGUGUAGACAGCUUAAACACAAUGAAUUAGGUGGUGAUUGAAUUAUAAUUUUUUGUGUCGAUACAAUUUGCUCGAUAGAAUAAGGAAGUGUCAAACUACCUAGUAUGUUGAGUUAUGUUAGUGUGUCGAAGCAUGUUGCUUCACACAGGAUUUAGAUUUAGGCCUAUUUUAGUAGUGUUGGCUUUUAUAGUUUUGGACUUUGGCUUGAGGUCCAAGUUAACCUAAACCUAUAAAUAGAGGGAGUAACCCUUAUUUUUGUAAUGAAGUGAAUAGAGUAUUCAUAACACUUGUAAUUCAUAGUAUUUUGCAGUUGCAAAGUGAAUAAAAAGUUUUUCAUAGUUUGUGGGCAGAGAGAAACUCUGCAGAAUUCAAUUCUUCUUCUCCUUCAUCGUUCUUUACACUCUUUCUUUCUCCAUUGUUCUUUUCUUUUCAUUGUUAUUAUGUGGGUGAUAACAAUCUUGUUCAUCAAGAUUGGUUGAAAUUCUCCAUAGGUUUUGGUGGAUUUCCAACAGAAAUUGGUUUACCUAAGAUAAAAAUUUCAAAAGAAAAUAUAUAUGAUGCAUGUGAAAUGAGAAAGAAAACAAGAAUGUCUUUCAACCGAGGGACUCACCCUUAAUUGAGAGACUCACUCCUAAUUGAGGGAUUCAUCCUUAAUUGAGGGACUCACCCCUAAUUGAGGGACUCACCUCUAACUAGGAGACUCGUCCCUGACUAAGGGACUUGACCUCAACUAAGGGACUCACCCCUAACUACGAAACUCACUAAAGGAAAUAAAUGGCUUAAAACUAUGAGGAGAACAUGCUUAAUCACUUUUCCCCUUACAACUCAUAAUGUUUGAGGGACUGUGUAGUAAUAUAUUUGUAAAGGCCCAUAAUAGAGCGAUAUGGGGCCAAACCUCAUCAGGCACUGCCCUAGAAUCUACCGCCUAGACAUAACUCCCACUUAGUAGGUGGCCUCAACUAAUAAGAAACACGGGGGAUGACGUGUACAUAGUCUAUAACCACAUGUGCAAUAAGCUAUGCUCAUAAUUCCCUAGGAAGUAGGCAGUCAACAGUUUCCUUAUUCAAGGUGGAGCAGUUACUACUUCUUAGGAGCCCCAAAAUCUAUGCCCAUAAGCCUCUAUAAAUAUCUCACCAUAAGGGUUAAGGAGAUAUUCUGAAUUCACCAUGAAAUACCCUCGUGAGCUUGCUCUCACAUCACAUAAAACACCGCUAAACAUGACCUCUCACCACUGCAAAUUAUAAAGCCUCUGGACAUCCCUACCAGUAUAGGGGUGCAAUGCAUUUGUACUUUUUUUAGCAAGUACGAAGAAGUCAAAAUAAGUAAAUUGAGAAGUUAGAUCAUUUAUCUUGUUUUCUUUAUAAUUUUCCAUGAGACAUAUGUUGACUUCUUCCUCUUUUUCAAAUUCAUCGGAGGAGUCCGUAUCAUUAUCAUUCCAUGUUAUUUAUGUCUUCUUUGUUUCUUUUUGAGGACUUUAUGUCUUUUAGUUUGUUUCUUAUUUUGAGGGCAAUUUGGCUUUAUGUGACAUUUAUUUCUGCACUAGAAGCAUGUUAGCACAAAGGAUGAUCUUUCUUUAUUUUUAUGUUGGAAACUUUGAGGUUGAUUUUUGUGCCAUAUGAACUUUUUGAAGUUGUAAACUAAGAGUUCAUGUCUUCAUCACUUUAUGUUUCUUUGGUCUCUUCAACUUUGAGUGCACACUUUUUCUUUUUAUGAUCACCUUCUUCAUUUUCAAUAACCCUUUUUAGUUCAACCUCAUGUUCAUGCAAUUUGUCAAACAAAGCAGUCAAAUCCAUAUAAGACAAUUCUUUAGAUUCAAUUGUGAUUUAGGUAUCUAAGGACUUUAUUAAUUAAAUUCUCAUUUGAAAAGUCUUAUCCAUAGUUCAUAAAUGAUUAACAAUGUGAAUAAACCAUAUUUCUAUAUCUUGAAUGUUUUCUUCAAGUUUUAUUCUAAACAAUUCAUACUAAUGGUAUAAUGUGUUCAUCCUAACCCUUUUUUACCUCGGUGAUACCUUCAUAAGUAACUUAAAGGGUGUCCCACAUUUCUUUAAAUCCUGGACUUUUUUAUAUCGGAUGACCAAGUAACUUAAAGCACAAGAGGGGAUGAUUUGUGAUAAAACGAUUUUCAAAACUUUUAAGAAAACAAUUGAUUUUUAAGAAAAAGGAUGAAAAUAAGAUUAAACACGAAAGAGUAAAUAAUUAAAAAUUAAAGAAAUAAGGAAAAAGGAAAUAACACACUAGAAUUUAUACUUACCUUAAAUCACAUGAUGUACUUCGAUCCCAAAAGAUUUUCCUUGAGAGUUCCACUAACAACUUAAAUUUUUAUCACAUACCUUAUACACUAAUCGUUUAUCCGGGUUUAACUUGCAACCUUUAUAAUAUAUCAGACUCACAUCAGAAUAACAUUCUUGAUUUACAAUUAGAACUCAAUCAAAUUUAAACAACAUUUACACAAGCACACUUUUUGCUAAUGAUUUCACUCUCUCAUCACUAACGUAUGCUAAUGGUUUCACUCUCCUAGCACCAAAGUAAUUCUAAGUGUAUGAGAAAUUUUCAAGAAAAUAGUGAAUAAUAAAGAAUAGUAAUAUUUCAGAUUUCUUUUAUGCUUUAAAGGGAAAACAAGUUCUAGUAUUUUUUCAUCUAAGACAUGAAUUUUUUUUAGAUUGGAUCUGCUUCAUAAUCGAUUAGACUGUCACUCUAAUUGAUUGUGACCUAGAAAAUUAGGAAAGAAUUUGCGAGAUUCAAAAUUUAUUGGAUUAAAAGACUUCAUUAGAGGACGGGUUUAUUUCAUAAUCAAUUAAAUAAAUUUCAUAAUCAAUUAAAAAGUGAAAAAUUACUUUUUAAUUGAUUAAAUAAACUUCUUAAUCAAUUAGUCUUUCACUAAAACUAUUUUAAUUUUUUUUUUUGAAAAUAGAUGAAGUAUUUAGGAACUUCUAUUUGUUUUUAUAUUAAUAAUGUGUAAUUUGUUAUUAAGUAUUGGAUUUUCACUUAUGUUUAAAAAUAAUUAAAUAUUUAUACUUCAAAAACAUAUUUAAUAUUUAUAACAAAAAGGGUUUUAAUUAAAAUAUUUUUGUAUAAUUAUAAUUUUUUUAAAUAUAUCAUUAGAAGUUUGAGUUACUUUAAUAUUAUAUUUAAUAUUUUAAUUUUUUUAUUAGUUUAAUGAUGAGAUAACUGAAAUUUCUCUCAAAUAUGCAUCAUUCAGUCAAAUAUUAUAUAUCAAAUAAACUCCAUUAACAUAAAUAUCUACUUUUAAUAUAUAAAAGUUAAUUACCACCAUAAUUACUUAAUUACUCUAAUUACAAUACAUAAUACAACUACUUUCAUGUUCCUAUAAGUAAUUUCGUACUAAACUCUAUUUAUACUACUAAAAAAUAUUACCGUUAUUUUAUUGUUAUUGCAAUCUUAUCAUUCCAAAAUGAAAUCAAUAUUCUGAAAUCAAAUUAAUUAUUAUUGUAGUUUUUUUGCCAAAUAUUAUCGUUACUUGAUUUUCUUUAAAUGACAAAAUGAAUAUUUAAUUGUAUAAUUAUAUGUUAUUAAAUUAUAACUUUAAAAUUAAAAAUAACUAUUUAAUAUAGUUGAUUAAUAUUAAUUGAGUAAUUUAAUAUUAUUGUUAAUUUACCUACCAAUUAAUUAUUAUUAUUGUUAUUAUUAUUAUUGAUAUUUACCCGUCAUAUAUGAUAAGAAUAUUUUUAAAAUUUAAAUAGUAUAUUUAUUAUUUGAUUUGAUUUGAUUUAAUUGAGAUCCAAACUCUAUAAAUUAAAAUCGGUUACUUAUUAUGAACAAUAAUAUAGGGUCAUUCCAAUGUCAAUCUAUUAUUAAUUGAAUUUUACAUAGAUGUAAUUUUGCAAUAACACGCUGGCAUAUUGAAUCUUAUACCGCUGUUAUCUUUGCACUAACAUAUUUUAUCCUUUCAACAGAAUAAUUAUAGUAAAUACGUACAUUCUGUAUACCGAAUUAUAAUAAAAAUGUAUUAAAAUCAAAAGCAAUAAAACUGUUUACAGUAAAUAAAAAUAUAGAAUAACAUCUUAAAAUUCUACUCUAUUUGAUUAUUCAUUUACUUAUUAUUUGAUAUAUUUUUAUAUAAUAAAUAAAUUAAUAAUAAGUAAAUGAAUAAUCAAAUAGAGUAGAAUUUUAAGAUGUUAUUCUAUAUUUUUAUUUACUGUAAACAAUUUUAUUGCUUUUGAUUUUAGUACAUUACACUAAAAAAAACUCUUAUGCAAUAAAUUUGUGUACGUUGAUCCAACUAUAUAUAUAUAUAAGCAAAAAAUAUAUUAUAUUUUAAUUUUUUAAAAUAAAUUAUUGCAGUUGCGCGACCCGUGCAAACACACGGAUCCUUUGCUAGUUUACUAAUAUAACCUAUCCUUAACUAUUCAAUAUUAAUCAUCAAAUAUUAUUUAUUCAUUUUAUUGUUGAAAGAUAUAUCUCCAUCAUAUAUUUAACUUAUUUAUAUCCAUUAUCUUUAUAAAUUUCUCAUGAUUUAAUUAAUAAAAAAAAUCUAAUUCACAUACAAAUUUAGUAUAAAGAGUUUUCUAUUUUAUUAGUCAAUCAUAACUCUCACCUCAUUAAAAAUAUUUGAUUUUAAUCACAACCCUAGUAUUAAUGUAUCACAAUCAAGCUAAUUUAUCAAUUUAUAUAUUAUUAUUUAUUUGGCAAAAGUCAAAUAAAAAUAACUUUCAUGUAGAAAGAAAUCAAAUCAAAUUAAUUAUUUUGAUAGAAAAAUUUCAAUAAAAUAAGAUCUAAUCCAAUUUAAUCUCAACCAUAGUGAUUAAUAUAUAAUUAGUUAAUUAUAUAAGCUAACACAAUUGCAUAAUUUGUUUGUUGGUGUGUGUUUCAUUGUGUUCCUUGGGUGUUUUUGUUCUAUCCUCUUCUCUCAAAUCUAUAGAUCCUUCCAAUUGUUUGUUCCACGGUUGCAGUUUUGGGCCAAGAAGAACUAUCUUUGUCUUGUGCUGUGUUCUCUUGUGUUUUCGAGCACUCAGAAGAAAACCCUUUUCGCCAUGAGACCUCAGAAAACUUCGAUCCACGCCAUCUCCACAUGGGUCAGGCGACAACCACCAAAGGUCAAGGCUUUUCUUGCCGUCGUUUCCGGCAUGACCGCUCUUGUUAUCCUCCGAUUCAUCGUUCACGAUCACGAUAAUCUCUUUGUCGCUGCUGAGGCUGUUCACUCCCUCGGAAUCUCCGUUCUUAUCUAUAAACUCAUGAAAGAGAAGACCUGUGCCGGUUUGUAAUUCAAAUUAUUUCUUUUUCGAUUCAAUAUGUAUCUUGAAUCUUUUCAAUUUUUGCAUUCUUGGGUAGGUUAAAAAUUUCCCCUUUUUUGUUCUAUCAAAAGAUCAAUUUUUUGGGAUUUGUUUCGUUAGAUUUUUAUUCCAUUAUUAGAUUUCCUUAAAAGGAAAUUGAAUUUUGGCAUUACUUUUCUACGGUCUCAAUCAGAUUGGCAUUGUUUAGCUAGUUUCAAUUGUGUUUGUGUUUGGCUUAAUUGGAUCAAGAAGAGACAUUAAUUGAAUUUUUGAUUUUGUUGAUAAUGGUUUUGAAUGAUGUACACAGGAUUAUCACUCAAAUCCCAGGAAUUAACAGCUAUAUUUUUAGCUGUUAGGCUGUAUUGUAGUUUUGUCAUGGAAUAUGACAUACACACCGUACUUGAUUUGGCUACUUUCGUCACUACCGUGUGGGUUAUAUACAUGAUUCGUUUUAAGCUAAAGGCUAGUUACAUGGAAGAGAAGGAUAACUUUGCAAUAUAUUAUGUGGUAAGCUCCAAUUGUUUCAUCCUAAAUUUAAAAGCAUUUUUUUUUCAUUUUCUUUUAUGGUAAAUAUGGUUUGAGUAUUCAAUGCUGUAUCUUUAGAUGAUAGAGAUGUACUAUGAAGCAUCUCGCAUAUUUGAUGUGGCAUUGUGUGAAAUGGUUGUAUAUAUUGAGAUUUAUUGUAACUUUUGCAUUUGCCUUCCAUCGGCAUGAUCUUGAUAAUACUUUACUUUUGAAAAUGGAUGCAGGUGUUACCAUGUGCCGUGUUAGCCUUGGUUAUUCAUCCAUCAACUUCUCAUCAUAUAUUGAACAGGAUUUUCUGGGCAUUCUGUGUAUAUCUGGAAGCUGUUUCAGUUCUACCCCAACUUCGGGUCAUGCAGAACACCAAAGUAUAAUUUCUUAACUCUGGGAUAUAUGUCAAUCUUCUAAUGUAUGGGAUCUGAUUCUAUUACUUUCCUUCUGAAUUGUUUUAUUUUGUACUUUCAGAUCGUUGAGCCAUUCACCGCUCAUUAUGUAUUUGCACUGGGUGUAGCAAGAUUCUUGAGCUGUGCUCAUUGGGUUCUCCAGGUCUGUUCAUGAAGUUUCACAAUUUCAUUAGUCAGUCCUUUGAUUCACUUGCAAAUUUAUAACUGCACAAUUCUCUCCUGUUGAUCAAGGAGUGGAAUAUGAACAAAUUUUGAUAAGUUUUAGUUUCUAUUUUAUUUCCAACGGUAUAAGUAUGACUUACAACAUUUUUUAAGGGCAUCUUGUGCUGUAAAGCUCUUGCUAUUUUGUGAGGGUCAAACACCAUGUAGGCUACAACCUUGUAUUGGCAAAUGAUACUGAUUUGACGACCCAAGUCUGUAACCCCUGAGUUACAUGGCAGCAACUCCUAUUGCAAUGUUUGCGUGUUCACAAGUUUACAUCCGAUCAUAUUGAUGGUCACGUGGUUACAAGAAUGCUGCUGUUAUUGCCUUGUUUCUUAUGUUUUUGUACUUGGAUUUUUUAACCAUAUGUCUCCUACUAACUUACUAUUUCUCGUAACAGGUGUUAGAUACCCGUGGACAUUUGUUGGUUGCCUUAGGGUAUGGUUUAUGGCCGUCAAUGGUUCUUAUCUCAGAAAUUGUCCAGACAUUCAUCUUAGCCGAUUUCUGUUACUAUUAUGUCAAAAGGUUAGUAUAGUUCAUAAUAUAGUUUUUUUGCAAUCUUUUUGCGGCUUUUGCUGGUUACGACGUAAGAUAUGUCCAACACGACUCCACACGAUUGUCCUAAUGAUGUUUAUUAUAUUGCAGCGUUUUCGGAGGACAGCUUGUUCUGCGUCUUCCCUCUGGAGUGGUGUGAUUAAAGAUCUAUGCCCUCACAUUUUCUUUAACUUAAUCAGGCAUCAUGUUUGGUUACCCAUGUUAGACUUAGAGUACACUUUGUGUUGACAUACUUAUUCUGUUCCUGGUGGAAUGUGUAAAGUUGGGGAUGAAAGUAGACUAAAUAUAUUUUAUGUUAUGCGGUACGGUUAUUUAUUAUGGUUCAUAAUGUUUUAUACUUCAUAAAGUCUCUAUUUGAUUAGAGUUUUUGUUACAAUUACUCUUCUUUACUCUUCUUUAUUGAUAAACUUUGUAUCACAAUUGUAUAAAGAUUUUUAAGCACAAAGGUUCCUUGCUAGAAUCCCCUCAAAAGUGAUUCCAGGUCCAAAAGCAAGUAUCAAUCCCCAUUCAGGAUCUCCUCCUCCUUCCUUUCUAAUCUUGUUUCCUUCUUCUAUCAUGUACUCCAACACAUAAACAAUAGUAUUACUGCUAGCAUUUCCAUAAUCCCUAAGAGCUUUCCUACUGGCAUUCAGCUUCUUAGGCAACAGCUCAAGCCGUUUCUCCAUGCGAUUCAAUAUCGCAGGUCCUCCUGGAUGAACAGCCCAAAACAGCUUAUUGUACUCCUUAUUCUCCAACCCACCAACAUCCAUUAGGUUGUCACAGAAUCCCUCAACAUUGUCUUCAAUUAUCUGAGGAAGAUCUCUCGCCAGCGUGAAGCUUAUCCCUUCCUCUGUCAGUCUCCCAUCGAUUUUCUUCUCAGUGUCUGGUAUAAACUCCUGAGCUGAAGUAUGAAGCUCGAACAACGGCUUCUCAGUUUCCAAUAUCGGGUCUGAACCAAUUAUCAUAGCACCAGCACCAUCUCCAAAGAGCGCCACACCAACAAGAUCAUAGGGUCUAUCAGCACUCGGUGGCUUGAAUCCAAUAAUUGUCGUCUCAGAAGUAGCAAGCAAAAUUCUGCUACCAGGGUUGUUUUCAGCUAUGUCUUUUGCAACGCGCAAACCAGCCACACCUCCAGAGCAACCAGCGAAAUAAAGCAUAACUCGUUGAAUUUUAGGACUCAGUCCUAGUCCGCUCGAUAAAUAAAGAUCACCACCCGGUAACCUAGCUUCACUAGACGAAACAUAAACCACAUGUGUUAUGUCAGAUAAAGAUCCACCCCAAUUCUUUAUGCAAACUUGAGAAGCUUCAAUCGCCAUUUGUGUCACUGCCUUGUUACAUAUCUCUAGACGUUGUUUUACAGUAGCCGCGCCUUCAACAGCAAGUUCCGGAUACUUUUUUAGUAUCUCCUCCGACAUAACAACAUACCUCGUUUUCACUGUCGUCGUCUUGCCUGUUGUUCAUACCAAAUCAAGCCAAAUUUAAUCGUUAGUAACACAUAAACAUGGUUUUAGUAAAAAAAAAUACUUGAACUAUUGUGUGUAUUUCACUAUAUACUUACAAAGUCUAGCAAGUUUCUGCUUAAGUUCAGGAUUAUCACAAUUAGUGUCCCUGAAAUAUCCAUCAACUAAAUACUCUUGCAUCACAAGCUGGUGAGGGAAAGCCUUGCCAAGAGCCAAUAUAGUAGCCUUACCUGGUGUGACAUGCUUUGUGACAGUUCUAACUAUACCUUCAUCUCCCAUAUUUCUUCUUUUUGCUAGUUCAAAUAUGUGUUAUAUUUGUCUAUGCAGUGAAUGUUACUUAUCCACAAUAUUUUGGAUAGAGAAUGCACAAGUAUAUAUAGUAUUGUAUUUUGGCAUGUUGGGAGUAAUAAUAGUGUGACAAGUUUAGAAUAGGCAAUACAUGAAGUGUGCAAUUGGUAAAUGUGUGUUAGUUGGAAGGUAAGUCGUUCAUAGUAAUUGUGUCAUACAUUAGUUGCUAGAAUGAGGUUGGGACUUGAGAUUUGAUUCUUAUUUGUAUUGUAAGCAUGUGUUUUCUCCAAUUUUGACUCUCUCUUCACAUCACUAAAUCUGAGUUGAGUUUAGCUUAAUAUGAUCUCUAUGUUUAAGAAUCAUGGAAAGUUUAAAUAGAGUAUUUUAUACUUUUAGAUUGUAGGAUUUAAAGGUUUAAAAAUUAUAAAAUUUAAAUCAUUUUACACGUUUGGGUAUGAUUCAAAAGUGUAAAAAUUAUAAAAUUUAAAAUCAAUAUUUUAUACGUUCUAAUCGUAGAAUACGAACCGUAAAAUAUUAUAAAAGAUUUUAAGAGUAUUUUACACAUUUGAAUUAUAGGAUUUGAAAGUGUAAAAGAAAUUUGAAAAUUUUGAAGGACAAUUUAGUUACAGUGUAGAAUUCAAAAAAUUUAAAGAGUCCGUCCCGUCCCGUUCAAUUUUCUUUGUGUAUUUCCGCAAUAAUGAACAUUUACAUAGACUUUUCUGUUUUUAAGUUUAAAAUAUGCAGUGUUAGCUGACUUUACCAGUCUUGCCCUCACUUUUUUUUGCAGGAUGAGCUUAGGUCGUCCCGUCUUGUUUUUUUUUUCUUCAGGUUUUUACGGGACGAGGCGGGUAUGCCUGUUUGACAUCUCUACCUUUGAGUGGUAGUAUCUUUUUGUUGUUAAAAAAAUUGAAAAAUUGAAAAAGAAUGUUUUAAUCAUUUGAAUUGUGGAACCUAAAAAAAAUCUAUAAAAAAUGUGAGAUUCGAAAAGCCAUAAAUUAUUAGAGAGGUCUAUCGAUUUUUUUAUCAUGUUAGGCUGAUUUGAGGGUUGUAUGAGAAUCUGCUGGAGAUAUGAAUUCGACGGACAUAGAACAUGAAUUUUACAUGGUCAAUCUUAAUAGGGUUGAAUACAAAGAUAUAAUUAGAGAAAGUGGUACGUGCAUGGUAUUUAAUCACUAUUUUACAUUGCGCGAUUGGAUUAUUAUUUUUUACAAGAUAAAUUACAUCAUUAUAGUACAAUGACUUGAAUUUGUAUCCUUAAAAUAUUAUGAUAGGAGUGUAUUUAUUGCUUUUGCUACAACCAUUGAGAAAUCAGAUGAAGUUUAUUGAUGCACAAGAGAAAGAAGAUGGAGAUGAGGAAAGAGAAGAGAGAAACUGAAUCGUAACUAAUUUUUAAAGUGAAAUUGAUUGCAAUAAAAAUUCUAUUACACUUUUCUAACUUAGCAUAGGUUCAAUAUUUAUACAUACACUAAGAAUUACUUGUCAAACUAAAUGCAUCUCAAAUUAAACUUAAAUGAUAAUUAAAUGAAAUGCUAACUGAAUAUUGGAUUACACUCCAAUACCAUCACCAAUACCAUCAUGUUUACCGAUAAAUAUGAUAAACAAAACAAGUUUAUAUUAAUACUUAAGGAUCAAAUUUGAAAAUCUCCCGGAACAUAUUUGUGUGAAUUUAAACCUCUAAACAUCAUGUUAUGAUUGAAAUCGAAACAAAAUGUGAAGAUAAUAAUGUGAAAUUUCGACAAGACUUAGAAUGUAAAAGGUUUUGAAAUAAAGAUGAACUCAGAUCGAAAUGUAAACUGAAGAUAAAAUGACAGGAAUCGAAAUGUAACUGAAUGCAGAGAAAUACUUGAACGUAAAAGUGUUUGAAAUUUAUAAAUGUGGAACACAUACGUAUAUUUUUUUCACUUGUUUCUCAAUUACGCAGAUAGUUUGAGUAUGUAGAAAUGUGAGUACAAUUGCGGACCCCUUUAAUGUAAACAAACAUCACUUUAUAUACUAAUCUAGAAUAACUACCUACAAACAGUCUGCUAAAAAAAUCACGACACAUUUUACUUCCAUGCAGCCAUUAUCUUCGACGGGACUCCACGUGUCUUCGAGUAACCACAUGUUCUAAUCCAAUUCCCUCUCUUUCAAUCAGGCCAAAUAACCAACGAGAACAUUUGAAAUUUUCACUAAGUCCACAGACUCUACCAACGCUCCUCGACCUUCAGCUGCCUCGACCAAACUUGUCACAUACAUAACUUUCGACAUGUUCAAAUCACAUUAACUCAUAACUUUGAUUUAAUACAUCUGAUUUUUAGCUUUCAUCAUGACACACUUAUUCUUACUUGCCAUUUAUAUUUAGGUCGAAAAAUUCAAGGUAACAAAUUGCCCCCCCAAAAUGUCAUGUUUCAGUUUUAAUCAGAAAAAAGAAAUGUGGCAUUUUUUAUCGUAUUUUUCGACAUUGCUUCCACUUCUUCGUUGAUAUCAUUAUCAUCAUUACCCAUUUUUAUGGCGCAUUGUCAUUUUCAAUGAGAUCUGUUUCAAAAUCUCAUCAUCACUCAUAUUUUAUAGGAGGUCAUGGAUGUGCACGCCUGCUUUAACUGCCCUACUCACAUCAAUGCUCCACUUCGUAACAAACAAAAUCGUUUCAAGAUCUCCACACGGAUGCCAUGUGUCCGACCUUAGGCAUGCAACAGAAGGCUAUAAAUACCCAUCUUCAUAUUCUUUAUGUUCUUCUUCUUCUUCUUCUUCUUCAUUUCAACUAUUUUCAUAUCUUUCUUGCGCAUAGAGAAAAACCUUUUAUUUUCUUCAAAAACGCUUCCACUUUCAGCAAUGGCAUCCACCAAGGCAUCAUCUUCCAAGUUUGACACAUGAAAGAAUUCGAUGGCCUUCACAAUCCCACCAGAGGAGGAUGAACAAGGAAGAGAUUUCAUCCAUGAACCUCCAUUGUCAAAAGAAAAAAUCUCCAACUAGGUCAAACAAGUACUCGUCCUUUUUUCUCUGUCCAACAAGCUUUUUGCCUUAUUGGGGCCCUAUCCGAAUGCCAAGUCACAAGCUGGGAAAGUUAAGAACUUCUCCCCAUAUUUCCCGGUCACAAUGCCUUCGGCGUUUGAAGAACUUUCCCUCGAUAUAUCCUUUAUGGACAAACCUAUUUCGAUCUGCCCCACCUGCUCCCAAUAAGGAACACAUUUCCUGGCUCGAAUAAGUCCAACCCAGAGGAAAAAACAAUGGGAAGACAUAAGCAUUUAUGGCAUGCCCGAUAUAUCUAGAACUGACCCUAGGUAUAAUCCAUCCAUGUUAUUAGUGUCGAUCUUCUCGUGGGAAGGUUCGACUAACACUUUCCAUUUUCCUUGUGGCAUGUUAACGCCAACCUUGUUUGAUGUAGUAACCAUCACAGGAUUAAAACCCUUAGGCGACACCUUUAUUACAACCUUAUAAACCACUAAAGAAUUCAUCAUCGAACGAUUCCAUUUCAAAAACUUCAUCCUCGACAAUCAUGACAAAGAAAACGCUGAAGUCUCCGACCAGGAGCACAUAACCUUCUUGACACUUUGGCUUUCUUAUUAUGUUUUCUGCUCUAACUCCUUACAAGUGGCUAAGAAAUUCGUACCUUCAUUCAACUCCACGAAGGUCGACACAUCCCAUUAAGCAAACUUCUCUUGGCCAAUAUAUACCAAUCACUUGGAGAAGCUUCCUAUAAAUUAAAACAUUGUGUCUUUUGCAACUUUGGCUAAACUCCACAUUUGAACCAAAACUCCAUAUCACUACCUCUCCAGCCUUGAUAGCACAUAAUGACUGCAGAGCCAUCAAAGGCAUCAAGCUUUCUUUGACUACCCCUCAAGAAGUUCCCUCACAAAAUAUACUUAUGAAAUACAUCAAUCUCUUCCUUGAAUCAACCAUUUUUGCUUCGACAAUGGCCCCUUUUGUUGAUCGAUGUGUGGGUCGUCUUGGUUCAGGAACAAGUUUCCAGGGGUUUCUCCUUCAGCAACUACCAUGUCGAACUCCAUUUGGGGCAGCCUUUGUGACUCCCACACUCAUAUCCACAAGAAUCAAAACUGGGACUCCUAACUAUGCUUUCAUUGGCUACCAGUCCAACUUAGUGGCCAGGAAAUUUGACUUUAGCCAAAUGCUUCCAUGCUCACUUUACAUCCAUGAAGAUGAUAUUUGCUGGUCGAAAAAGAGAUUCACCAUUGCAGAUUACAAAUUUUGCACUUCAUUUUCCUAUAACCAAGUCCAUGAACUUCCUACUUUCCAAUUUCAACAAUCAUUUUUCAUGACCAUCGAAUACCAUAACUGGUGGACACAGUACUUCAAUAGCCACUUUACAGAAGACAACUUUCAAAAGAGAUUAUUUGCUGCCUUCUCCGACGUAUCAGAAAAUCCAGAAUCACAAGGUAUAUACUUACUAUUGUCUUCGAAUUAUUCAUACCUUUCAUUUUCUUACGUUUCGAUUGCAAGUGGACCUGAAGCACAAACUGAGCCUAAUGGUGAAGGAACUUCCAACGCAAAAGAAACAGAGAAAAUAGAAGAGCCCAAGAAAAAGGUACCUCUUUCUUCUCUGACCUUUCCUCAUUGUUUGAGAUAAUUCCAACAGUUCAUCUUUCAGAAUCGAAAGCAUGAUCCUGACUCCCCCGUUACCAAAUCCAAGAAAAAUAAGAAGUCUACGACCACUUUGACUCAGGUACAUCAUUGAUUUUGACCUUCUUUUGUAAUCUUUUUAAGAACCAUCUGUCUCAUUUGACUUAACUUUUAGGAUACUCCAAAGCCAACAAAAACUCAGGCUGAAAAAGAAAGCUCAGAGGGACUGAGGAAACUCUUAUCUUCUCAAGGCCAAAGCCUAAAUCCUCUCCCAGACCAAACAUAAACUAGAAAAAAUAAAAUAACCUCUAAGAAAUCAAAACCCGAGAAAUAUACCACAUCCUCAAGUAUCGAUCCUUCCAAUAAGAACAAAGAAGAAGUAGAGGCAAAAAAAGAUAAGAAAAAAAAGAAUCAAAAGAAAGCUCAAGAUCUUCCAUCAACUAAAAAUAAAAAAUUAAAUGCACCUCAAAGCGAACCGAUCAAAGAACCAGACAAAGAUGACUCUGAGGUACUUCUUGAUUCACCCCCUACUCUAUUUUUUGUACCUUACUUUGGGCUUUAACUCAUUAUUCUUUCCUCUUUUCAGGGAACAACAUAAAUGAACCAGAAUGAGGCAGAAAAUCCACCAAGUAUCCCUUGUUUAAUUCCUUAUGAAACAUUAUCUCACAUCCAUUGGUCGGAUUUCCUUGAUUCUAACAUUUCAUCUGUUCAUCUAGACAACCAACCCAUUAACAAAACAAUAGACGCUUCUCCAUAAUCUGAAGUGGAAAUCAUCGUCAACCAGCAUUCUCCACAACGCAACAAAGAAUUGGACGACACUAAUGCAUCCUUUCAAGAUAAAUUGGCUUAAGAUGUCCCACAAUCUGAUUGCCUAGCCAAAGCUAAUGAAGAGCAGGCUAUGCUCAACGUCAAAACUACCCUAGUCACAAAAAAUGACCAACCUACCAAUAAAGAACCAGAGCAAGCUCAAGUCAUCGUCUAUGAUUUAGUGUCAAACACUUCUUUGAGCUAAGAGGAAAUUCUUUCUCUCAAAGAAAAAAAAUCCUACUAAAUCUCUCAAAAGACUCCCAAAGCUUCGCAAGUUGUCGACAAAUCCAGGUCAAGUCACUCUUCUGACGCCUCGUUGGCCGAUACUGGCAAUGACUCAGUCAACUUCAUGAUUCAAUAAUUGAAAGCUAACAUCUUCGAGGUCGUCCUUCUCAACACCAUCGAAGGAGAUGCUCGACUUGGGGCUAAUAUUCAACGCUUGCUAGCUGAACUCAACAAACAAGAGAUGUAUGAUACCUUGGUUCAAUAUCUCUUUGAAUUCGAGGCUUACUUUGACGAAGUCUCCAAAUACAUUGAUCUCAAACGAACAAACAGCUCUCAGCUUCAAAAGGUGAAAGACGCCAUGACAGUGGCCUGGGACACAAGCAGUGCAUAUGAAAAAGAGGUCGACAAGCUCAAACCAAGAUUCAAGAAUACAAUGACAAGAAUACCUCACUAAACAACUAAAUUGCACAACGUCAAAUCCAAGAUUCUCGAGCUAAACAAAGAGAUUGAUAACCUGGAAAAAGAGAAAGCUGAGUUGGCAUGGAAAAAAUCACUCCCCACCAGAGAGAUGAUCGAUGAAGAAGACACUAGAGGCGUCGAGCAUGAUGAAACCGCUCUUAACUUAGGGCUUGAAAUUAACUCCCUAGAAAAAAAAUCCUUGAUCGACUGGCUUCCAUACUUAACUUCUCCAAAACCAAACUUGAGGAAUUCAAAUCAAAAUUUUCAAUUUAAAUCACAUUUCUCUUAUUUUCCUUGCUUUUGACAUUUUUGUAAUGACAAUGCCAUGUUGGCACCCUUUAAUACCAUUUUGGCGCUUUUGUUUUCCUACUGCAUGUUUUUCUUUAGUGAUUUGAAUUUCUUAUAACAUAGGCUUAUACCUCUUAAGGUAUUUAGCAUUUACUCUUAAAAUUGGUUUAUCAAGUGCUAAUUCUUUGAUUCCAUAAGAAGUAUUCGAAAAUGCUUGAAUAACAAAAAAUAUGUCUUCCCAAUUAGGAGACCACUUGCCGAUAGUUCUAUCUCUUCGAUCCAUAGGAAAUAUAACCUUUCAAACGUAAUGUCCAAUCGAAAACACUUUCAACUUUAAUUUCUUAUUAUAAGCAUUAGCUUCUCACUCCUUUUGUCUUAUUCAGACAUCUAAGGUUACCAACAUUUCUUAGCCUAAAUCGACCAUUUCAUCCAACAUCAUGCUCCAAUAAUGAUUAGAUGGAAUUUCUCCCUGUCUCUAAAUUCGAAUUGGUUGCAAACAGAUUUUGACCGGCAAGACAACUUCAUGUCCAUAAUUCAAUCGAAAUGGAGUCGUAUUUGUUUCCUCUUUAGGAGAGAUUCGACAUGCCAAUAAGACUUGAUCUAACAUUUUAUGCCAAUUCUUUGGUUUCUUCCCAACAUGAUUCUUGAUCAAACUAAUGUCAACCCUAUUAAAUGCUUCGACCUGGCCAUUUUCUUGAGCAUAAUAAGGUGAUAAGGUCAAUAACUUAAUCCCAAUUUCAGAGGCAAAUUCCUGCAUCUUCUAACCAGUGAACACCAACCCUUGAUCUGUCGUAAUGGUCUCAGGAAUUCCAAACCUAUAAACAAUAUUUCUUUGGAUAAAUUCUAUUAUAACAUCUUGGUCAACAUUGACUAAAGGAACUGCUUUGAUCCACUUUGUUAAAUAAUCAAUGCCUACUAAAAUAUAUUUUUGAACUUUAGAGGAUGCUGGUCGAAUUUCACCAAUCAAAUCCAAAGCCCAUCCUCUGAAUGACCAUGGCUUUACAACCGCGUGCAGUUCACUUGCAGGAACAUGUUGAAUUCCUGAAUGGACCUGACACUAUUGACAACCAUUAGCAAAGUCGAUACAAUAUUUAAGCAUCAUAGGCCAAUAAACACCUUGGCGACAUAAGAACCAUCUCAUCUUAUACCCUACCUGAUGAACACCACAUGUCCCACUAUGGAGAUUCGACACAGCCAAAUAUGACUCACUUUCAAUAAGGCAUUUAAGAAAAAAAACCUCAAGCGUAUUCUUAAGUAAUUUGUUUCCUAUGACCAUGUAGCUCGGAGAUUUAUAUUUAACUUUUUGAUCAGUCGAACCAACUAGAUUUUCUAAGUAACUGACUAUUGGCUUAUCUAAUCAGUUUCAACCAAAUUUUCAAUAGCCAGCAUCUUAAAGUUCUCUGAAUCUACUAACCCUAACUUAGUCAUUGCUAGAUCCUAUGGGGAUAUUCUUGUCGACUUCCCUCUCCCUCGGACUUUAAUAAAGUCCAUUAGUUUCUCUUUAGACACUUUAUAACCUGAGGCAACGUGCGCCAAUUCAUUUGCCUCUUGAUUUUCAAGUCUAAGGACAUGUUGUACAUCCACAAAAUUGAAAUACCUGAUGAGUCAAUUAACUAUAACAAAAUACAUGAUUAAGUUUUCCUUAAUACAUCUAUAUUCCUUCAUUAUUUGCUUCACUACCAAUUCAGAGUCUCUUAUUAUUUCGACCUGCUUUGCUCCAAAAUCUAACAAGAUCUUAAGCCCGACUAUCAAAGCCUCAUACUCAGCUUCGUUAUUUGAGCAAUGACCCUCAAUUUUAUAUUUGAACUUGGUCGGAAUCUUGUUUGGAGAAACAAUCAAAAUCCCAACACAAGUCUCAUUCUUAUGACUGAAACCAUCUAAGUAUAACUUCCAAGGUUCCGUUUCCAAAUGGUCCAAAGGCGUCUCGACUACCACAUGAUCCACGAUAAAUUCAGUGACCACCUGUCCCUUCAUGGCCUUUAAAGGCACAUAUGUAAGGGAGUAUUUUGUUAGGGCAAGAGCUCAUUUCCCAAUUCGACGUAAGAUUAGUUUAGAUAACAUAUGCUUGAUAAUAUCGAAAUGAGAAGAUACAUAAACAUCAUCUGACUUUAUGUAAUGCUUCAAUUUCAUACAAGAAAAGUACAAACAAAGGCACAUAUUUUCAAUAAGACUAUACGUAGUUUCUGCGUCAUUCAAGACUCGACUGAGGUAGUAUAUGGCCCUUUCGACGCCAUUAUCAUCCUCAUGUGCUAACAUACUUCCUAUAGUCAAGUCUGAGGCAUAAAUGUACAACCUCAUGCAUCUAUUUCUAACUAGAGGGGACAAAAUUGAAGGAUUUACUAAGUACUCCUUUAUUUCGUCGAAUGCCUUUUUACGUAGAGAAUUGGAGGAGGAAGUGUAUAUGGAUCAACCUCUAGGUUUUACUAUUCCUGGAAAUUCUAGACUUGUCUGUCAGCUUUGUCAUUCUCUUUAUGGGAUGAAACAAUCCCCACGUGCUUGGUUUGGUCACUUCAGCUCUGCCUUGAUACAUUUUGGUAUGGCUAGAUGUGAAGAAAUCACUCUGUUUUCUUCCUUCAUUCCUCCACCAGUCAGUGCAUAUUUCUUGUGGUCUAUGUUGAUUACAUUGUUAUCACUAAAGACGAUACAAAAGGUAUCCAACAACUCAAAACUCAUCUUUUCAAAAAAUUUGAGACAAAAGAUUUGUGUCUACUCAGAUACUUCUUAGGUAUUAAAGUUGCUUAAUCCUCACCGGAAAUUGCAAUUAACCAACAUAAGUAUGCAUUAGACAUCCUAAAUGAAACCAAUAUGCUUGAUUGUCGUCCCUUUGAUACUUCUAUGGAUCCCAACGUCAAGCUUCUUCCAGGUCAGAGGGGCUACUGAAAGACCCAAGAAGAUAUCAACGUCUAAUGGAUAGACUCAAUUAUCUUACCGUCACCAUACCGCAUAUUACAUUUUCAAUGAGCAUUGUGAGCCAAUUUCUGAACGCCCCUUGCGAUAGUCAUUGGAAUGUAGUUAUUCAGAUUCUCAUAUAUAUAUAUAUAUAUAUAUAUAAAGAAUGCACCAAAAAGAGGGUUAUUAUAUGAAGAUAAUGGUGAUGUUAAAAUCACUUGUUAUUCAGAUGCAGACUGAGCCGAAUUAACGUCAGAUAGAAAACCCACUUAUGGAUAUUAUGUUUUUAUUAGAGGAAAUUUGAUCUCAUGAAGGAGUAAGAAACAAAACACAGUUGCACUAUCUAGUGUUGAAGCUGAAUACCGUGCUAUGUCAUUAGCCUCAAAGGAACUUGCAUGACUUAAUAAUUUGCUCUCAAAACUUAGGUUGAGAUAUCUUCAGGCCACAAAACUCAUAUGCGACAAUCAAACGAUACUCCACAUUGCAUCCAAUCCAGAUUUUCAUGAACAGACCAAACACAUAGAAAUAGACUGUCACUAUGUAAGAGACACGAAACUGUUAGGAGAAAUAAUCACAGAGUUCGUCAAACCUGAAGAUCAAUUGGCUGAUAUGUUUACGAAGUCCCUAAAGAAUUCUCGAGUGGAUUAUAUUUGUAGCAAGUUCAGAUCAUACAAUAUAUACGAUUCGACUUAAGGGAGAGUGUUAAGAGUAUGUUAGAAAUCAAUUAAUAAUAAUUGAUAUUCAAUUAGUAAUAAUUGAUAUUCAAUUAGUCAUAAAUGUAAUUAGAUUAUAUUCGACACACAAAAACACAAUCACAAUACUCUCAAAGACCUCCACACUCAUUUUUUCCCAUCAAAAUACCCUAUUUAAUAGAAGACAUAAUCAUCCCAACUCUAAAAAAAUUAAAAUGGAGAGUGGGUGUAUUAUGACUAAAUUAUUUUUUACAUGUUUAUGGUUUUAUACAAGAAUCUUUAUAGCUCAAAGAUAUUGUCGAUCAAAAUCUUAUCACUACUCAUAUUUAUUUUCUCAUUUUCAUGAAUGAAUCGAGUAUGUUAGAAUAAUAGUUUCGACGGAGGAAUUGAAUGAUGCUUUAUUUUUUUUAAUUGAUCACUUCAAAGCUCUAGUAGUGUAUGUAAUGAAAUAAAACAUUUUUAAUAAAAUAACGAGUAAAAUAUAUAUUUUAUUCCACUUUGCUCUGUUCAACUCUAUUAUAUUCUCUUUCACUCCGCUCCAUUAUGUUGUAUCAAUCAAAGAUAACUAUAAUUAAUUAAAUUACUCCCUCUUUAAGAUGCUUAGAUCAAAUAAAGUCAGGUAAUCAAGUUUCACCUCAUUUUCACCGGUAAAAUUAAAUGCAAGUCAUGCAAAUUCCGAGUUACUAAUUUUUAGUUGAAUACUUAUAAGACAAUAAUUUUAUGAUCCUAACCGACCAUAUCUCAAGUUCUUACCAUGAAAAACCUCUCAAUUUUAUCGGAGAGUAUCUUAUUCCAUUUCUUCAUGAUGAUUAGUAAACCAUAUCAAAGGUAUUUAAAAUGAUUGUUAAAAUUUUAUGUGAUAAUUCUUCCACUAUUAAAUUUGGAAAGAUUAUAUUUUCUAUGAGAGAAGUAAACACAUUGACGUACAUUUUUAUUUUUUAAGCAAUCUUACAAAUGAUGGAUCUAUUAAUAUGAAAUACAUUGGUAGCAAUGAACAAAUGAGCAAAUAACUGACAUUAUAACUAAUUUUAAAAAAAUUGAUCUCUUCGAAAAACUCCAAAGAAAUAAUGGGCGUUAGAAGUAGUCUUGGCAAAAACUAACAUGGUUAGUUUAUGAGAGAGUUUUGUUAGUUAGUAUAGAACAUAGAGUUGGUUUAAUAUUUGACUUAUUCUUGUUUGUUUUAUUUUAGAUUUAUUGUUUCUUUGUAAGACUUCAAAAUAACAAAUAUAGUUGCAUUUUGUGCAAUUUAUGUUAUGUUAGUUAUUUUAACAAUUAGGCACCACUCUUAAACUUUCACUUUUUUUCAUGACUUUAUGCUUAAACAAUCACUGCUGUUUUGAUAAAUUAUAAUAAAAACUAAGGGAGAAUAUUUAUAUAAAAAACUGUUGAUUAUAAAUUGUGAGAAACAUAAAAUAGAAAUUUCGAGAAAAGUGUAAAAUAGGACUGGCCAAAAGUGGUGUAAGCAAAGUGGUGAAGAAGUGUGAAAAUGUUUUAUCAUGUAACUGAUGCUGGGCCAAGCGCAAAACAGGGCCCAUUCAAAUAACAGAUUUCAUUUCCGUUUCAAUCCACGUCGAUAACUAACACCGGAACUGAAUUUCCCGUCGACGAUAACAUGCUGAGAAAUCUCCGAUCCCGGCGACGUCCCCGUUACGGCGGCCUCCUAUGCGCCGUUGUUUUAGCACUUCUUCUCUUAAUAUCACUCUCCUUCCUCCGCAGCCACACUCACCGUCGCACCCCAACUCACGAGGUUAACUACGACUCCCUCCUCUCCGAUUCGUCGAACGAAGACACAACAGGCGGAGAGGACACAAUCGACGCACUGGACAUUGUCGAAGAACAGGCUCCGGAAUUCCCAACAGACGCAGAAGAAGACGACGAACCAAUCGAAGAGAGCAACAAAGCUUCAGGCUAUUUCUUCUACCACGUAGAAGGUGUAAUAAGAAGAUCAUUCACCAAGCGGUCGACGAUGACAAUGACGGAGGAAUCAAACGAAGGAUUCAGGAUUUUUGAAACGACGGCGGAUGAUCGCGGGAAGACAGCGUUUGGUUCUGAUGACGUGGCGGUGGACGAGUACGUGAGGACGAAGAUGAUGGAAGUGAAGGGAAUCGAGGACGCGCUUAUGUUGAAAGUUGGUAAGAAACCUUUGAGAGAAGGAUGGAGUAAUUGGUUUGAUAAGAAAAGUGAUUAUUUGAAGAAGGAUAAGAUGUUGAAGUCUAAUUUGGAAGCGUUGAAUCCUUUGCAUAAUCCUAUUUUACAAGAUCCUGAUAGUUAUGGUGUCACUGGCCUCACCAAGGUUGAUAAACUCUUGCAAAAGUCACUGGUAAAUGAGUUAAAGAAAAUUCCAUUUCCUCCUAGGAAAAUUACUAGGGAACCCAAAUUAGCAGCAUAACUUAGUCAUAACUUUUUCAAUAUUAUUUCAUUUUGUUUUUUUUUUUCAUUGCUAGGUAUUUUUUGAUUCAUUGUGGUAUGAUUGUUGUAGAAUGUUGAUAUUGAUUGAUUAUAAGAGAAGUUAUUGAGAAAUAUCUUGAGAUUAACGAUUUGGUUAGAAACAUGGUUCUGGACAAAACAUUAUGACAGAAGUUGAUCCAUAUAGUUGACCCCACUUAGUGAGAUAAGACUUGAUUGUUGUUGUUGUAGUAUGCUUACUAAUAGCAUGAACUUGUCUCGCCGCCCCUCAAAACCAAGUGGGACUCGAUGGAAUUCAGAAGUGCACUGCAACCUGCAUGUGUACUGUGUGCAUUUUACCGAAGGUUAUCGAUGUAAGUUUUGUGUUAGAUAGUUUGGUAGUCUGCAAUGCUUUCAAAUGUGAAAGUUAGUUAUUUAUCUAUUUAUAAUGAAAAAUCUGAGUUGUUUUUACUGAUCAUCAUAUAGUUGACAGGAUUUUCUCAUCAUUCUGUCUAUAUCUGGAAGCUGUUUCUGUACUACCCUAACUGCUGGCCAUGCAGAACACUCAAGUAUAAUUUUCUCAUCAUAUGGGAUCUGAUUAUGUUGCUUUUCAUCCUCAAUUGUUUCAUUUUGUACAUUCAGAUUAUUGAGUCAUUCACUGCUCAUUAUGUAACCGCACCUAGCAAGAUUUACGAGCUGUGCUCAUUGGGUACUUGAGAUCUGCAUCUGUUCAUGACAUUUUGUAUUUUAUGUAGUCUGUCUGUUUGUUCUUUGAUUUGUGGAUAUGCUAGGGGUCGGCAUACCUUAGACACAUUUUUCUGAAUUGUCUUUCCUUUUGAUCAAGGAGUGGAAUAUUAACAUUAUUUGAUAAAUUUUUAGGUCUCAUUUACUUUGUGAAAACAUUUUCUGUUUUCAUUGUCUAAAAUAUGAGUUCAUUUUAAUUUGAAGAUGUGAAACUCUUAGAUGAAUAAUUGUGAUGGAGAGAAUAUAAAAUAUCAGUUUGAGUGGCACAUUUUUGGAGAUAAUGAAAACAAUCUUUUGACAAUUUUGUUGUUUCCAAAAAAUAUACACAAUUGUUUAUUGCAAGAGUCUAGUAUCUCCUUGUUAGUAAAUUAACACAGAUUUUAUGAAAUAAAAAUAGAUAAUCUUUUCAUAAAGGAAACAGGGCCUUAGUUUCUCGUAAUUUUCAAAGGUAUAAGUUUUCUAAGCCAUUUUUUAAAGGGCAUCUUGCACUGUAAAGAUCUUGCCAUUGCCGUGUUGCGAGGGUCAAAAUCAUUGUGGGUAUAUUGUAGGCUACAAUUGACAAGGUGGCCUUACCCUAUCUUUGCAGAAGAUACUAAUUUGACAACCCAAAUCUGUAAUCUCCUAACCACAUUUCAGAGUGGCAUGUGUUUUGCCUGUAACUUGUUUUCUUUUCAAGCCAAUUUUUGCGUGUUCCGACUCAAUGUUUUGUUACAUGUUAUUGUUAUCCAUCCGACUACAAGCUUGCUGCUAUUCUUGACUAGCUUCUUUUGUGAUGUAUCCUAAUUGGAUUUUGUAACAGCAGAUCUCCUACUAACAUACUAUUUCUUGCACAGGUGUUAGAUCCAUGUUGACAUUUGUUGGUUGCCUCAGUGGUAUGCUUAUGGCCGUCAAUGGUUAUUAUCUCAGAAAUUGUCAAAACCUUCAUCUUAGCAGAUUUCUGUUACUACUUACUUUUAUGUCAAAAGGUUAGUAUAAUUCUAAAUUUAGUACUUUUGUUUUUUUUACUUGUUUCUGCACUUUUUUUUUGGUGCAACACAUAAACCGCGAACCUAGCUUCAGUCAAUGAGACAUAACCACAUCACGGCGGGAAAUUGGAUUCCAAGAGAAUAAAAUGUGAAAAUAGUGAAGCAAAUAUUUGGAGUUUUUGAAUUCAUGUGGUUUUUAAACGCGGUUUUCAUCAAAUUGAUGGGCAAAGGCGCACAAAUUGGCAUUGUUUAGGGUGACAAAAAGUUUGGAAAAAACUAGUCAUUUUGUCUUGAUUUGCAGGAAUAUUCAGGGAGUUUUGAAGCAUAUUCAUUUGUUAGGUAUUCAGUCAGCUACAUGAUUCCAACACUCAUUAGUUAAUGCACAUAGCAAUUAACGACAUUGCACUAAUAACAUUUUGUAGUGAGCACUAGUUUAACACUUAAUCCUAAAGGGUUGCUAUCAAACAUAAUCACAAAACCAGAAAAUAAUCCUUAUCCUUUUCCUUAAGUAGACAAAGACCCACGAACUCAGCCAACUCCCGGGUAGUGGAUGAAAAGUUUUCCAUGUCUGUUCAGACUUGCGAGAGAAAUUGUAUGGGGCCCAAAAACCCUUCAAGAGGGAAGUUUCAGGCUUCUAUUGGAGUACAUGAGAUUUUCAGCCCAGAGGUAAUAAUUAGUUACGAAUUUCUUCUUUGGUUUCAUAUUUUCAUCUUUAUUUAUUUACAAUAUACUGUAGUCCCAUAUGGUGAAUUUCCUCAACAAUAAUAAUCUUGAAAUUGUGAUCAUGACAAAUAGAACUAUGCAUUGUUAGUUAGGAUGGGAAAUGGUCAAGUUCAAGAAGUAGAACAAUCUCACAGAUUUCAAUCAAGUCACAACUGAAGACCUCAUUGUAGAACAUUCAUCAUUAGAAAUAUGACUUUAUUAAAACCACACAAGUUAUUCAGGUAGAAUAUAACCAAUUAAAAUUUUGAAAACAAAGUUGAUACUAUCAUAUAAGACGUAAAAUAAAAAUAAUAAAGUUGUAUAUGGUAUGAUGAUCACCUUACCCUAUUUUGAACACUAUAUUUUCUAUUAUAUUAAAUUGAUAAUUGAUGCGGUUAACCUACAUAUCUCCCUACAUAUCUCCGUUAAAAAAAUAGAGGAAUAGAGAUGAUGGUUGAUAUCUAUUGAUUUAUACCUAAAGAUUUUUAAUUUUUAUUUAAUGGAAAUUGAAUUUGUUUUUGGAGGAAAUUAUACCUAGAACUUAAAUCGUCUUCCUUUGUUUUUUUUUGGUUCAAAUAGUCUAGUGACUGAAAUUCAUCAUUUAAAGGUGAACAAGUGAGAUGUUACGGGUUCGAACCUACAUCUUUAUCUUUGAUGUUCUUGCACAACUAUCAACUGAAUUGAUUUAACGAGACUCUUUUGUCUUUGUAUUUUUAAUAUUCUUUCAAGAGAGUUAAUUUUUUAUUUAUCAAAUUCAAUAGAAGUAUUAAUAAUAAAGUGAUUAGACUAAAUGAUAAGUUAAAUUUUAAUUAAUAGAAAGACAUUUGAGUUUGAUAUCUAGUUGAACUAAGUAGUUAGAUAUUGUUUAUUUCUUUAGCCAAACUCUGAAUUAUUAAAAUCUCUUUCUCCUAUUAAAAAUUAGUGGAUUAACAAAUAAGAAUAUAAGAAGUAUGUUAAAAGAUUAUUUUUUUCCAAUGCUGUGACUCAAUUUUACAUAGACUUUUCCCUAUCCCCCUUCUAUUCAACCAAAAAUUGUUUAAUUUCCUAUCACUAACUACGUAUGUAAAAUAAUAACAAUCCCUUUUUUCUUCAUUUUUAGAUAUGGAAAGCAGCUUUAACAGAAUUAGUUGCAACUGCCUCACUAAUGUUCACCUUGUCUACCACCAUUAUUGCAUGCUUGGACUCACAUGAAGUUGAUCCUAAGCUUAGUGUCCCCUUUGCAGUCUUCAUCAUAGUCUUCUUAUUCCUAAUUGUCACAGUUCCUCUAUCUGGUGGCCAUAUGAGCCCUGUUUUCACAUUAAUAGCUACUCUAAAAGGUGUUACCACUCUUUCUCGUGCACUCCUUUAUAUCUUAGCACAAUGCAUUGGCUCGAUAAUUGGUUUCUAUAUACUCAAGUGUGUGAUGGAUCCAAGACUAGUAAACACAUAUUCAUUGGGAGGUUGUGCUAUUGGUGGCAAAGGACUUAAUUCUAGUAUCAAUCAGUAUGAAGCUUUGUUAUUGGAAUUCUCUUGCACAUUUUUAGUACUCUUUUUGGGUGUCACAUUGGCUUUUGACAAAAAAAGGUCAAAGAAUUUGGGCUUGCCGAUGGUAUGUUUGGUGAUAGCUGGAGCCAUGGCAUUGGCAGUGUUUAUGUCCAUAACUGUAACUGGACGGGCUGGUUAUGCUGGUGUUGGGCUUAACCCAGCAAGAUGCCUAGGUGCUGCAUUGGUUCAUGGAGGUUCACUAUGGGAUGGGCUUUGGAUUUUUUGGGCUGGGCCUAUUUUGGCCUGUUUAAUCUAUUAUAGUGUCUCUAUCAACCUACCAAAAGACAGUUUGGUUUUGAUGGACGGAGAAAAUGAUGGCUUAAAGUUGCCUCUUGGUUCUAGUGUGACAAUACCUAAUGGUGACAUUUCAAAGGAGACUUUUUAUUCUGCCUCUCAUGUUUCUCAAAACACUUGAUUUGUUUUGAUUAUGUAAUUCGAAUGUUGGUUUUGCAUAAUCCGAGCAUGUUUUGAGAAAUGUCGAGGAUAGAUAAACUAUCUGAAUUAAACUAUAUCACAAUAGAAGAAAGUGAAGCUGAUUUCAAGUUAUGCGUGGAAAGGGAUAAACUUUGUGACUUUGUUGUCGUGCUAGUUAACAACUACACUUACUAAUAGUAGUUGAUUAACGGAAAGGAAACUAUUUUCAUUCACUUUUUCUCUUGUAUUAUUAGAAAUUACUAGAAUAUAGGUUCAAUUACUACUUAGGACUUAUUGUGUAUUGUGUUUUGGCUUUUAAGUAUUUAAAAACAGUUUUGAAAAACUAUUUAAAACUAGUAUAUUAAUUUUUUCAAAUUUAAAAUUAGAACAUAUGGGUGUUUGUUUUGUGGAUACAAAUGUUAUUUUCGGAAAUAUGACAUUAGAAUUUACACAUUCCAUUGUUUGUUUCAAGUUUUGAUAAUUUAUUCCCGUGUACUUUUUAUUUCCAAUAAUAUGUAUUGUUUAAAAAUUUCUUUAUUUUUAUUCUCAUGUCAAAUGAUAGAAAUCUUAUCUUUCCAUGAAAAUAUAAACCAUAACUUUCAUUCUCAUAUUAUUUUAACACAUUUAUUUUUUAAUUUUUAAAAUUUAAUUAAAAUAAAAUUUAAAAACAUUCCUGAGAAUUUUAUUGUUUGUGAAACACAUUGAUAAGAAUAAAGUUCCUGACAAUAAUAUUUCUAGAAAUGAUAUUCCUGAGAUUAUAAUUUUAAUCCAUCAAACAAACACAUCCAUAAAAUUGAGGAAUAGAAUUUUAAAAAACCGUAACAGUUUUAAGAAAACAAGCCGACCAAUAAAAAUUUCUAUUUAAUUUGUUAUAAAACAAAUUUAUAGAUAUUUCUGAAAAAUUAUGUUUUUUCUUCUGAAAACUAAUUUUAAAAGUCUUAUACUGAUUGUACAAUUUUAAAUUUAAGAGCAUAAAUUUGAGAAAAAGAAUUAAGAACUAAAAAUUGUAAAACAGUUACAAACAUUAAGCUAGCCAAACAAAAAAUUCUAAUAAAUUUGCUAAAAAAACCUAUUAAAUAACAGAUAUUGUUUUGGCCUGGCCAGGAAAGCAUAGAUCUAAUGUUAACCUUUUACGGUCUUUUAGGACAUUCUCCUCUCCACCACAUCACCACAACAAAGAUCUUGAACCACAUUAAUAAACCGUAAAUUCAUCCUCUCUGAAUUAAUUUUUGAUUCCUACAAUUUUUAUGAUCAUGUUAUGGGAAAUGUUAAUGAUCAAUUUUUAUAGAAUAACAAAUAACUCCUCUCACCCUAAUUAGGAUUUGCGUUAUACAAUGAUGAGAGACUAGUGUGCUAUUUAUAAGAAAACUAACACACUAAACUAAUAUGCUUUUACACACAUACCCAUUACACAAGCUAACUUAGAAAACAAGCUAACUUAAACAAUUGUGCAUAACACAUAAGCCAAAUUCGACAUGCUAAUAAUCCUAGCAUACUUCGACUACAACAUAUGGACAAACUUCGAUGACAUGCUAAUGAUCCUGUCGAAUUGUCAACCAAGAAGCUACCCUUCAACCAUAUUAGAGUUCGAUCCAAUAUCUCACAAAUCUCCACUUUGGAACAAACUCUACAACAUCAAGGGAACAAACUAUAGCUUUUUUCAUGCAACUUUAUCAACUGCAUACAAUGGGAAAACUUGCAACUUGGUAAUGUCUUGGUGGUAUCAGCAACAUUGUGAUCUCUCGAAACCUUUAGCAGUUGGAAUUCUCCACACUCGAUUACCCCUCUAACGAAAUGCAACAUCAUGUGCUUGGUUCGCUCAUGAUAAGCUGAAUUCUUUGAUAGGUGUAUAACACUUUAACUAUCACAUUUAAUAGUGAUGACUCGACCUUGAAGUUUCAACUCAUUAGCAAAACUUUCAAGCCACAAUACUUCUUUCACAACUUCAGUGAGGGUGAUAUAUUUUGCUUCAGUGGUUGAUAAUGCAACAACCUUAUGAAAUGUUGCUUUCCAACUGAUUGUUGUGCCAAAUAGUGAACACAUAUCCAAAAAUAUAUUUUCUGGAAUCCAUACAACAUGCAUAAUCAGAGUCGACAUACCCUUCGAUUUCUGCUUUACUAUUUUUACCACAUGCCCCACCAUAAAUCAGGACUCUGUUCAAAGAUCCAUUUAUGUAUCUUAGAAUCCACUUCAAUGCUUGCCAGUGAACCUUUCCAGGAUUCACUAUGUACCUACUUACAAGACUUAUUGCAUAUGCUAUAUCGGGUCUAGUACAGACCAUAAUGUACAUCAAAGAACCUAAUAUGUUAGCAUAUGUGAUGUUAUACAUAUAAGCUCCUUCAACCUCAGUACUGAGACACUCAUCUGUACUCAACUUGAAUUGAGGGCUUGUUGGAGUCACAAUAUGCUUUGAAUUCGACAUACAAAAUUUAUCGAGAAUCUUUCGUAGGUAUGUCUCUUGAGAUAAGCAUAAUUUUGACUCUUUUCUGUCUCUUCAGAUGUCAAUCCCAAGAAUCCUGGAUGCAGCUCCCGGAUCCUUCAUAUCGAACUCCUUAUUGAGUUCAUCAUUCACCUUCAUUACAUCCUCAACAUUGUUGCUUGAUAUGAGAAUAUCAUCCACAUAAAACAACAAAAUAAUAAAUGAAUUUCCAGGUCGAAAUUUGAAGUAAAUACAGUGGUCAAACUGACUUCUAAUGAAAUCUAUGUAUGUCAUGAACUUGUCAAAUCUCAUAUUCCACUGUCGAGAAGAUUGUUUCAGUCCAUAUAAAGAUCUAUUCAGCUUGCACACACAAUCUUCCUUUUUCUUUUCUGCACACCCUUUAGGUUGCCUGAUCAGGAUUGUUUCAUCUAGAUCUCCAUACAAGAAAGAAGUCUUCACAUCCAUUCGUUCCAGUUCUAGGUCGAACUGUGCCACCAUGGCAAGUAACAUUCAAAUGGACUUGUGUUGCACAACAGGAGAGAACACAACCUUAUUUUAGAGUGAAACCCCUUGCGACCAAUCUUGCCUUGUAUCUAUUUGAUGUCACUCAUUCGAUUCCUUCCUUAACUUUGAAAAUCCACUUACAUCCGAUUAACCUGGCUCCAGUAGGUUUCUUGAUCAAUUCCCAAGCGUGGUUAUCAUGAAGAGACUUCAUCUCAUCAUCCAUGGCCUUCAGCCAUUUAGUCUUAUUUCGACUCCUCAUAACUUCCUUAUAGCCUCUAGGUUCUUCAUCUAGAAACUCACUUGCAGAGAUUAAGGAAUAAGCUAUGAGAUAUGCAUACCCAAGUAUUUGAGGUGGCUUGACGACUUUUCUCGGCCUAUCUCUUGCCAAGAGGUAGUCAUCGACAGUUUCCUCAACUUCCUCAGUAUCUUCAGCAUCUUGUGUUUCUUCUUUAACUUAAUCUGGGAUACACAAUUCAGUAUCGACAUGCUCCACCUCAACAUGAAUCUCUUCAUGUUCCAGCUCUUCUUCAAAUAUCUGUGCACUUCAACUAACAUCAUCAGUUUUCUUGAAAGCCACCUCAGCUUCAUUGAAAACUACAUCUCGACUGGUGAUACACCUCAUGUGACCUGGCUCAAGGCACCAUAGCCUAUAAACUUUUACUCCUUCAGGGUAUCCCAUUAACAUGAAUCUCAGAGCUCUAGGUUCGACCUUGUCUUACCUAAUAUGUGCAUAGACUAUGCAACCAAAUACUCUAAGUUUAUCGAGAUAUGGUGUGUGUCCCGACCAAACUUCUUCAGAUGUUUUCAUAUCUAACACUGUCGAAGGACAUAUAUUUAUCAGAUAUGUUACUAUCGAAACAACCUUUGCCCAAAACACCUUCUUUAAGCCAACAUUAGUCAACAUGCAUUUAACUUUUUCCAAAAUGGUUCGAUUAAACCUUUCAGCCAAACCAUUUUGUUGGGGGAGUACCUGUAGUAGUUUUGUGCCUUGCAAUACUAGAGGCUGUACAAAAACUGUCGAACGCCUCGUCGCAAAAUUUAAGGCCAUUGUUGGUUCUCCACCUCUUGACCUUUUUGUCAGUCUGAUUUUCGACCAGAGUCUUCCAACUUUUGAAGUUCUCAAAAGUUUCAUCCUUAGUCUUCUGAAUGAAUACCCAUAAAUUUCUAUAAUAAUCAUCAACUAUGGAUGGAAAAUACUUUGCUCUUGAAUGUGAUGGGCACCUUGCAGGCCCCCAAAGAUCAACAUGGAUGUAAUCAAGGGAUCCAUGUGUUCUUUGUUUGCCUUUAUUGAACUUCACUCUGUAAGAUUUUCCAAGUACACAGGGUUCACAAAACUUCAGCUUUUUGAAUUUGUCUCAACCAAGUAGAUUUUGUUUCCCCAAUACGAUCAAACCCCUUUCACUGACAUGACCCAAUCUCAUGUGCCAUAUUUUGUCUUCGAUAAAGGUUUCGUGGAUGCAACAUCUGCAUAACCAUUGACAACUUCAGCCUCAAGGGUAUACAAGCCUUGUUUCUUCACGCCUCUUAAGAUUUCCUUCGACCCCUUAAUGACUUUUAAAAUACUUUUAUCUCCUUGGAAAACAUAUCCUUUCUUGUUGAAUUCACCAAGAGAAAUCAAAUUUCUCUUAAAAUCAGGUACAUACCUGACUUCGGUCAACAAUCUUAUUGACUCAUAAUGAAGUUUGAAUCUCACAGAUCCAACACCUUCAAUCUUUCAAGCUUUAUUGUUUCCAAGUAAUACAGAUCCACCAUCUUGAUUACAUAGUUCCUCGAACAGGUCUUUGUUUGGAGUCAUGUGCCAAGUGCAACCUGAACUCAUAAUACACUAUUUACUUGAGUUGUCGUUUGAAACCACAUGAACCUUAAAUGAGUUGAAAUCAUCUUGAACAAUGAUUGCAUUGUCAUUAUCCUUACCUCCAUGAUCUUUCAGGCGUUCAAGGAACACUUUUCUUGUAUGACCCUCCUUCUUACAGUGAUAACAUCGAGUACCAUAUGCAUCACCACUAUAAGACUUAUGUUGACUUUUACCCUUCUUCUUGUCGAACUUGCCAUAUCUCUUUGUGAAUUUCUCCUUAAACGACAUGCCUUCACCAAUCGAAGAUGGCUUAUACUCCUUUCGUUCGUUCAAAUCCUUAUAAUACAAGGCUGAUUAAACUUCUUCAAAGGUCAUAGACUCUCUUCCACACCAUAAAGUUUCUUUGAAGUGAGCAUGUGAUAUGGACAAAGCACACAACAACAACAACAACAAUGCUUGAUCAAGAAUCAACUUGUUGAACAUAUCUAACUUCUCAGCCAAAACUUUGUCUUCACUCAUCUUUAAUGAAUACAUAGCUUGCUUCAAGUAGAGCCAAUUGUCCAACGAUUUGGUCAUGUACAAACUUCCGAGUUUCACCCAUAACCCCGAAGAACCUUAUCACCCAGGCUCAAUAAGAUGGCAUUGUGGGAUUUCUCUACCAUAUUCGUUUUUUCUUUGUCCGUUAACACAUUGUCCAUGGCUUCGACUCCCUUCAACACUUCUAAACAACCCUGCUGAACUAGUAGGGCUUUCAUCUUCAAGCGCCACAUACCGAAAUCGUUCGCUUCGGUGAACUUUUCAAUCUCAUACUUUAUUGACGACAUCUUCUCCAUGCUCACCGCACCAAUUUGUUAUGAAAACAAUACAAAAAUAACAAAGUAUAAUCGAUUUCUUGAUCUGCAAGAAACCCACAAGGGCAGAAAAAAAGGAAGGAAGAAGAGCACACAAAAUUGGUUAUAAACUGUUAUUCUUUACUUUGUAUUUGAAACACGAUUACAAAUGUUAUAGAAUAGAAAAUAACAUCUCUCACUCUAAUUAGAAUUUGCGUUGUAUAAUGAUGAGAGACUAGUAUGAUAUUUAUAAGAAAAUUAACACACUAAACUAAUAGGCUUUUACACACAUGCCCAUUACACAAGCUAACUUAGAGAACAAACUAACUUAAACAACUGGGCAUAACAAAUAGACUCAAUUCGAGAUGCUAACAAUCCUAGCAUACUUCGACUACAGCAUGUGAACAGACUUCGACAAUAUGCUAAUGAUCCUGUCGGAUUGUCGAACCAAGAAGCUACCCUUUAACCAUACUAGAGUUCGAUCCAAUAUCUCACGAUACCUAUAUGAAUGAGACUUGAUGGGGAUAAUAUUGUGGGAUGAGUUUGUUGAGGUAGAAACGACUAAUUCUAUGAAACCAAGACCAAGAUUGUAAUUUAUAAUUAAUAGAACCUUCUUUAUUAUGGAGGAUCCGAAAGUAGCCGUUCAUGGUAGGUAGACGCAGAUUAGGUGAUCAAACCAAACGAAGACAACUUUUGUGUUGGGGUUAAAUUUAAUCGUGAGCCCAAUAAUAAUAUUAUGAAGGAAAUGAAUAGAUAAAUUAUUGUUGUGAUAUUUUUGCCGACAAAACUAAAUUAAUGCUUCUAUAGAAAGUACCCUUCUAAAUGAAAUUGUGAGUCAUUCAGUCUAUGGUAUCAAAAUGUUAUAAGGGAUCCAUGUGUUUUGCAUGUUGUUGCUUGCUAUGAGAAUAUCAUCCACAUAAAUCAAUACUCUGCUCAGAGACCCAUUUAUGUACCUUAGAAUUCACUUCAAUGCUUGCCAGUGUGUCUUUCCAGGAUUGACCAUGUACCUGCUUACAAGGCUCACUGCAUAUGCUAUGUCUGGCCUAGUACAUAUCAUAAAAUACAUCAAAGAACCUACUAUACUAGCAUAUUGAAUGCUAUUCAUAUAGGCCCUUUCGACUUAAGUACUAGAACUUUGAGUCGUACUUAACUUGAACUAAGGUGUAGUCGGUGUUACAACAAGCUUUGAAUUCACGUACCAAACUUGUUAAUAAUCUUCAAUAGAUAUAUCUCUUAAGAUAAGCAUAAUGUUGACUGAUUUCUAUCUCUCUGAAUGUCAAUCCCAAGAAUUCUGGAGGCAACUCCUAGAUCUUUCAUGUCAAACUCCUUAUUAAGUUCAACCUUCACCUUUAUAACAUCCUCAACACUGUUGCUUAUUAUGAGGAUGUCAUGACAUAAAGCAAGAAAAUAACAAGUGAUCUUCCAGGUCAAAAUCCGAGGUAAACACAGUGGUUGAACUAGCUCCUAGUAAAACCUAUAUCUGCCAUGAACUUGACGAAUCUCAUAUUCCAUUGUCGAGGAGAUUGUUUCAGGCCAUAUAACGACCUAUUCAACUUGCACACAUAAUCUUCCUUUACUUUUUCUACAUACCCUUUAGGUUGCCUCAUCAGGAUUGUUUCAUCCAGAUCACCAUACAAGAAGGCGGUCUUCACAUCCAUCUGUUCAAGUUCUAGGUUGAAGUUUGCCACCAUGGCUAACAACAUCCUAAUGGAUCUUUGCUUUACAACAUGUGAUAACACAUUAUUGAAUUCAACACCUUCUUUCUGAGUGAACCCCUUAACAAUCAACUUUGCCUUAAAUCGCUUCGACAUCACUCUUCAGAUUUCUUCCUUAACCUUGAAAAUUCACUUACAAUCGACUAACCUGCCCCCUGAAGGUUUCUCGAUUAGCUCCUAGGUGUUAUUAUGGUGAAUAUAUUUCAUUUCAUCAUCCAUGAAUUUCAUCCAUUCAGUCUUAUUUUGACUCCUCACAACUUCCUUGUAGUCUCUAGGUUCUUCAUCAAGAACUUCACUUGCAGAGAUUAAGGCAUAAGUAAUGAGAUCUGCAUAACCAAGUCUCUGAAAUGGCUUGAUGACUAUUCUCGGCCUGUCUCUUUCCAUCAGGUAGUCAUUAUCAGUCUCCUCAUUUUCAUCAGCAACUUGUGCUUCUUCUUCAACUUCAUCUGAGUUAUGCAAUUCAACAUCAUUAUGCCCCACCUCAACUAGAAUCUCUUCCUGUUAAAGGUCUUCUCCAGAGAUCUUGGUACUUCAACCAACAUCAUCAAUUUUCUUGAAAUCCAUCCCAACUUCAUUGAAAACUACAUCUCGACUUGUGAUACACCUCUUGUGACCUGGCUAUAGGCCCCAUAACCUAUAAACUUUGACUCCUUCAGGAUAUCCAAGGAACAUACAUCUCAGAACUCUAGGUUCGACCUUGUAUUGCCUAAUGUGAACAUAGGCUACACAACCAAAUACUCCAAGUCUGUCGAGAUUAGGUGGAUGUCCCGAUCGAACUUCUUUAGGUAUCUUCAUCCCUAAGGCAUUCGAGGGACACCGAUUAAUCAUAUAAACUGCAUUCCUGACUACCUCAUCCCAAAAGACCAUAUUUAAUCGUGCAUUAACCAACAUGCACCUCCCUCUUUUCAGAAUGGUUUGAUACAAUAUAUUAAGGAAUUUCCUUAAUCUAUUAUCACGAUAAAUCUUGAUUGACCUCUCAAUAGUGGAAAAGUUCCAAAGCCAUAUCAUGCGGUUAGCCAGGAAAAUUAUGCUAGUAAUAAUUUAUCCAAAAUAAAUAUUUUAUUAUAGUUAUAGGUUCUUAAUAUCAUCCAUCAUAUACAUACAUACAUAGAAAGACACAGAUGCAGAUGCACCUAUGCUAUUGUUGUUUCAGUAGUAGAGGAUGGCUGCAAAAGUGUAGAAGAUGAACCCAGAGGCUCAUGCACUACAGAAUUUGAAGAAACUGAUAUAGGACUUCCUUCCAACUGCAACAUGAGACUCCCCAAUAUUUCAGUUAAUACUUUCUUGAACUCAUCUUCUUUCACCAACUUCGCAUCAUCUGCACUCACCAUCUUAAACACUUCACCGAUAACCUUAUCCAUCUGUAAAACCAAAUAUAAAUGUCAGGGCGGUCUGUUAAGUUUAAAAUUUGUCAUGAUUAAGUUUUGAUUAAAUAAGGCUCCGUAAAAUAUUUGUUACGGUUAAAACAUGGUUAAAUAAAAUUUCUGUUUAUUUUUUUAUGGUUAAACUACGACUAAUCUCGACUCAGAUGAAUCAGAUGAAUGUUCAAUUUGGUUUUAGUCUUAGUUAGACAUAAUAUACCAAGCAAAAAAUGAUGAAGUGUGAGAGAAGAGAUGACAAACCUCUUGAACUGCGCCAAAAGGAGGUAAAGCAGCGGACGGAGCCACCACAUCCAGCGCCACUCGGAGAUAAUCCUUUGACAUUUUUCCAUUACGAUCUUUAGGGAUAGUCUCUAUAGCUGAGUUCAAAAUCUGCAUUCCAUCAUUAGUUAAUUACUAGUAUAUAUCAAUGAAUAAGCUAAGAACAAGAAAUAUAUUUCAAGGAAUCAAUAUCCAAACCUUGUCUAAUUCAAACUUAUUUGAUAAUAGUCUCUUAACACCACUUCCAUCAAAUUUGCUUUCACUAUGAGCAACUAUGACAGGUUGCUCCCGAAGACGAUUCGCUACGAGCAAUGCCACUCUCUUAAAUUCUUCAAUAAAUAUCUCUUGAGAAACUGGCUUAUUCAAACUAGAUCCACGUCCAGAAAGCAGUGCUGGUUCCACAAUGUUGUUAAUAACCUACACAUAGAAUCAUAAGCCACAAUGCUCCGAAAAAUAUAGCAAUAACUUAAAACUUUCAUAGCAAAAUUUUUUAUAGUUCAACUUUUUUAAUGGUAUGAAUUGGCUACCCAAGGAUCAGAAGUAGGAGGAAUCCCUUGAUCAACAUUGAGUUUGCUGAGAGCUUGAAUUAUAAGAUCGUGAAGAGAUGCGUGAGGUGAUUCAAUUUGCGAGAAUAUAGAUACGAUUUCGGGUUCAUAAACUGAACCAUUGAGAAACUCGAGAAGAUCUUCGCCAUCAAUGCGAAGAAUCACAAUCGGGUCUCGUUUGAGUCCAGCAGCCAUGCCCAACAGAAUGUCUGAAAGAACCUCUUUGAACUCAGUCUUGCUCACUUUUUCAUGCUUUCCAUGUGUGAAUUCAUUCAAAACCUGAGGAGUUAUUAAGUCAAAUGUAAAAAAAUUGAAAUGAUUCCUUAUUGGUUCAAUAUAAUGGUUAAUCAAAGACAAAGACAAAGACAAAUUCUUAUCAGCAAUAAAAACUAAAGUUAUUAUUAUAAAAUACAGUAUUAUAUGUACAAACACAUGUAUAUGUAUGUUUUUCAAUUUGUUUGACUAAAUGUGUGCUUUCACAUAUAUGUAUUGAUAUACUCCAUUUGAUCUAUAGUAUAAGUCAGUGGGUGAUUUUGUCAAAUGAAAAUUAUUUUCUUAUUUUGCUAAAACAACUUACUAUUCAUAUAUUCUAAAGAUGUCAAGUUACAAGUGUUCUAGAAUACCAAUUGGAGGUUUUAUAAACAGUUCAUGUUUGUCUCACAGUCAGAUUGAUUUCAUGGAGAUAUUUUUAUCAAAGGAAGAGAAAUGAUGGGAACGAAGGGGAGAGAUUUUGGAAAAUAUGAAAUGAGAAAGGAAAAUUGUAACUACAAAUAUGUUUGAUUUACAAUAGAGGAAAAAUAUUUAAAACUAAUUUAUAUUUGGGUAAUACUAAUUUGUGUCUUUAUAUAAAAAAAUAUUGUCUUAAAAAUUGGAAAUUAUACAUUAAUUUUAAUUAAAAAAAUUAAUUAAUUAUUUUUAGUGUUUUUUUCAAUAUAAACAUUCUAUAUAUAGAUUUCUUAUUAGGAUUACCCUUUACAUUUUUAUCUUUGUAAUUUUCACCAUAAAAUUUAUUUUCAAACAUAAAUUUAUUAACGAAUAUAUUCAAUAAGAGAACAUCGUAACAUUAAAAAUAUAACAAUAAUAAUAUAUAAUUUAAAAUAAUUAUCAAAUGCAAUCAAAUGUAAACAAUAAAUUAUUAUAAAAAAAGUUAAGAUAAAUAAAAAAUGACAUAAAUUUUUUUUAAAAAAAAUAAAAUAAAAUAAAUUUAAACAAAUGAAUAAUAAGAUGAAGAUAUAAAAAAGUAUAAAAAAAAUAUAUGAAGAUAAACUUUAUCUAAAGUAAAACUUUUAAAAUUUUAAUAAGUGAAAAUUUAUAUUUAAAUAAAUAAAUAAAAAUAAAAAUAAAAAUAUAAUUAUAAUUAAUAUAAAACACCUUUCUUCCACUUCAAACAUAUAUAAUAUUAAAUAUUCUUUCUCCACCACUCUCCUACUUUCCCUUACCCCAAACAAACAUCCCCUUAUUGUUUAGUCAUAACACAAUUUUAAACUCUAUGCAAUAUUUCAUCUUACACUCCUUAAUCACUAACUUUCUUCUCUCCUAAUUAAUAUAUUUUUUAAAAGAUACUACCUCCGUUCCCGUUCCUAUUUGUAAGAGACAAACAUAAGAAAUCACACAAACCAAGGAAUAUUUUUUUUAAUUAAUUUUUCUGAAAAAUAAACUUGUACUUCCAAAAAUACCCCUAAGUUAAACAUUUAGUAGUAUUAAUGUUUAAUAUAAGCCAAAUGUUGAUAUAAUAAAAAUUGGUCAGCAUUUAUUCUAUCCAAAAAUAAUUACAACAAAAAAAAUUGGCUUUCCACAUUCUCAUCGUGAAAAAUUAGAUGCAAUUAAAUUUCCCUCUAUUUUUUUUAUACAUCUUUCCACCAAAUUUUAAAAACCAAAAUAAUCUUCCCACCAAUUUUGUAGUAUAUUUGUCUUUUUUAUAUAAAGAGAGUUGGUGUUUCAUUUCAAUCAUACUAGAAAUUUAGUUUUCAUCUACUAGAAUUAAGUCCAUGGCAGAUGAAAAUGGUGAGCAAUCUCUUUAUAUAUUGAUUACUGUGUGACACGUUAAUAUACUGUUGACCCAUUAUGUGUAUGGGGAAUAUACAUAGCACGUUCUUUUUCAAAACAUUAAUGCCCAAUGAAUAAUAAAUAUUGCAUUUUGUUUACUAAGGGUAUAAAUGAGAUUUCUCAAUUAAUAAAAUUUAAUUUUAUAAUGUGUCUCUUAUAAAAAGGACCAAAAGAAAGUUACAAUUUGUCUCUUACAAAUAGGAACGGAGGUAGUAAUUAAUAGACCAUCAUGAUUGAAAAUGCGGGCCUAAAAUUUAAAUCUGUCCCGCAAUAAAGAAAGGGUGGGAGAGAAAAAAUCCACCAACAUCACAAUUUUUAAAUUUUAAAAUGCAAAAUUUUAUAUAAAUACUCGUACCCGUAUAAACCCGCGAAAAAACGGGACGAGACGGAAUACACACAUUAAAAAAUGAAACCAUAAAUCUUUGAUCCGCACUGCACUAAAUUGCGGACAAAAUGAAUUUGUCCAAUUGAUCGGAUCCGUUUUACCACCCCACUAUGCAGCUUAUGCUUUAUAUAUUUAUUGCUCGUAUAUAUUUGGUACUCCUACGUAGUUACUACUCCCUCCGUUCCUUUAUAAGUGUCACUUUCUUGUAAAAAAUUUGUUUCUUUUUAAUUGUCACUUGCAAAGUUCAAGGUAGUAUUAAUUGCAAUUUUGUCAAAAUUACCCCUAGAUAAUGAUUGCAAUAAGUGUCACUUUCUUGUAAAAAAUUUGUUUCUUUUUAAUUGUCACUUGCAAAGUUCAAGGUAGUAUUAAUUGCAAUUUUGUCAAAAUUACCCCUAGAUAAUGAUUGCAGAGAGAGAAAAAGUAAAAUGAAUGUAAUAAAUAAUUAAGGGUAUUAUAGGUAAAAGAAAAAUUAUUGUUUGAAAAGUAACAAUAAUGAUUAACUUCCUUGAUAUAUGUAAAAAGUCAAAAAAUGACACUUAAAAAGGAACGGAGGGAGUAGUUACUUAGGCAUUUUAUUUCUUUUUUUUAAAACUAUGCCCCACACACACAAAAAAAAACUCCUUUAAUUUGCUUGUCCCAGCCAGAAACAUUGCCUUCGGAAUGCAGCCAUCAACCAGAGCCAUAUAAUAUAUGGUUGAAUGAUAAUAGCAUGUUGACUUUAUGCACUCACAAAAGUCAAAUUCAAUAUUUUCUACUACCAUGCAUUGUCUAAGUACUAAGUACUUAAUAAUAAUUAGAUUUUAAUCUAGUAGUUUAAACAGAGCAAAUCAAUCAUUAUUUUUAUAUUAGACACUAAUCAUAGUCAAAAUAUCAACCGAGUAAUUUCCGCAAGAUUCCUCUUUUAUAUAUAGAGAUAAGAAAAUGAAAACAAAAAGUUAAGUAGGGGCAGCAAAAUCAACUACAACUUUGCCACUAAAAAGCCUUGUCACACCACCGACUCAUUUAUUUAUGACAAAUGUGCACAUACAAAUAAAUAAAAAACAAAUAAAAUAAUGAGUGAACAUGAUAGAAUCCUAAAAAAAUUAUAGAAAGUUCUAACAAAGCUUAAUUAUAAUUUUAUACACUGAUUUAAUUAAUUUUUUAUUUUAAAUUUGAAUAAAACAUAUUAAAACUAUUUUCCUUAAUAUAAUCUAAACCAUAAAAAAACCCUACUUAAACCUACUUUCUCUAAUAAAUAAAUAACAAUAGCAAAAACAAAACAACAAAUUAUAUGAUGAAGGUAAUGACAUCGAUCACAACACUAUUACACUAUUUUAUUUCAUCCCUGACAAAAGAGUAUUAGAAUUUGGAAUAGUACUAACCUAAUUAAACCUAAAAAAGUAACAAAAACAAUUCAUAUCCUUAUCUUCUUACUAAGUCGGUUUAACGCUACAGUUUCUCUGAGCAGUGAUAGUAAAAAAUAACCAUGAAGAUAAGAUAAUCAUGGAUACUUAUUUAGCUUAAAUUCAAAUUAAUUAGUACUAAUUAAUCCUAUAUGCGUAAUUAAUUAGCAGGAAAUGAAAAAGAAAUAGAUAAUUACCUCAGAAUAGAUGUGAUCAGAAUCAGGAUUAGUGCCUUUAGGAGGUAAACCAAGAGCAGCACCAAUAUCAGAAACAGCAGGUUUGAGUUCGUUCACAGAAAGUUUACCAUCUCUAUCUCGAUCCAACUCUUGAAACUUAUGGUUCACGAAGUUGCUGAAAACAUCUUUGUUUCCAACUAACUCCAUAAUAUUAGAACCAUCUAGAACAUCUACAGCUUUUCCACUUUUCCUCUCCAUUCCUGUGACUAGCCUUUUUUCUCUCUUCUUGCUGCUCUCGUGACUCUUUCACCGAAUCACAACCAAUUGCUCUUUAUGUGUCUUAGCUAGUAGAGUAUUUAUUUACUUUAGUUUAGUUCACUUCAGUUUCAAUUCAAAUAGGACUUUGCUUUUCUUCUAUAAUGUCCACCGCCUUUUAUUUUAUAAAAUACUACAUGUUUAAUAUAAUAGUUUUUUAUUGUGAUGUUAACAUUUUUAAUAUUAACUUAUACAUCAAAGGUUGAAAGUGAAGAAUUCUCUCUUUCAACUAGUGUUUAUUUAUAUCAAAUCUCUGUGAAGUCUUUUAUCAUAAAAAUUCGCGGUUAACUAAAAAUUAGUUGAAUAAUUACGCUAUGAAAAAAUUAAGUUUAAUAUUAUUUUGUGAAAUUUAAUACGGUCGUUUUUUGAUUUGACAAUUCGACAGAACCUUAGUAUGUCAUCGAAAUCUGCUUACAUGUUGUAAUUGAAGUAUAUUACGAUUGUGAGCAUGUCGAAUUUGUUUUGUUUGUAAUGUUCAAUUGUUUAAGUUAAUUUGUUCUCUAAGUUAGUUUGUGUGAUUGACCUGUGUGUAAAAGUUCAUUAGUUUAGUGUGUUAAUUUUCAUAAAUAGCAUACUAGUCUCUUAUUAUUGCAUAACACAAAUCCUAAUUAGGUUGAGAGAGGUUAUUUGUUAUUCUGUAACACUUGUAAUCUUGUUUCGAAGAGAAAGUAAAGAAUAACAGUUUAUAACCAAUUUUAUUGUGUUCUUCUUGCUUCCCUUUUUUCUACCCAUGUGGGUUUCUUACCGAUCAAAAGACUGAUUAUACUUUGUUAUUUCGGUAUCAUUUUCACAACAUACUUAAAUAAAAAAUUUAAGGUAAACAGAGUGUUCAAUGCACAUCAUUCAUUUAGGAAGUAUCAUAUUGUUCCAAGCUGUAAUCAAAACUAUGGAUGAUAGACUUUUGAUGCGGCGAUGUUGAUCUCUAAUACAACAACGCGUGAGUGAUUAUGCAAAUUUAACACUCUAAUAUCAAAGUCAGUUACUGAGUUUAAGAUGAAUAAAAUGAAAUUAUGAGAUCAAAAAAGUUUAUUUUAAAUCUCACACGUGUCAGUUAUAUAUGAUAAAAAAAAUUGAUUGAACUUUGCAUUGGAGUUAAUAUCGGGAUCUUGCUUGUAUUGGGCCUUUGACCGGUCCAUAACAAUUUCCUCCAAGGCUAGCCAAGUGUUUUAUAAGGCAUAAAGUAUUUUAGAAGUUGUGUCCGUCAUCUUGAUACCAAAGUCGUAUGUAAGAAAAAGUGGGAAGACCAUGAGGCUGUUACAAAAGUAGUGGGGGAACAAACGCAUUAAAUGCAUUUCCUAUCAUUGAGACGUUUCACCAAUUUUUCAGGCAAAUGGCCUUAGACUCGCAAGUUAGAGUGUGAUGCUCUUCUCUAAGGCAUUCGAGUGUACUUGAGUUCAAUUGUAUUUCCAAGAUGAAAUUUGAUCGUUGAUUCUUAACUUUACAUCUUUUAAUCUGACUCGUUGCUUGUUUCUUCUAUAUAAGUUUUUUAUUGUCUUUUGAUUAAAUUUUUCUACAUUCCUGAAAGUUAGCUUCCCCUUUUUAUGAGAGUAAUUUCCUUUUCGUUUCAGAAGUCUUUUCUUGAGCGUUUUCUUUCUUUUGGAAUAAAGUUUUCUUACUUUGCACUUAACAUCUACUCUCUUCGCCUGUCCAUAUUUUCUACAGGUACCAUUCUUACCAUGAGCUUAUUUUCUCAUUUCUACUCUUUAUUAUCACUAUGUCUCAUAUGAAUGUUCAUCCUAUGGAUCUGUCUAGUGAUUCUGAGUAGUGGUUCCUCUCCCUUCGUUAAAGCAGAAACUUCCGCUAGUUUAGAUUCAAACCAAUCUAUUGUUAGUCAUUCCACUCUAAUUUUCAUAAAUGUGUCUGAUAGUUCUGAAUCAGAGAGGUUCUCUUGGUAGGGAAACUUCUCUUGAUGAACCUUCCUUCGACGCCCUCAUUUCUGAAGAGGGUGCUAGAAGUGAUUGCGCAAUCAGUUAUGCACUUGCUCUAUCUGCAACCAUGGCGAAUUCAGCUUUUCCUGCUUUGGCUUCAUUGGAGGUGGAAGUUACUGCUCUAAACAUGGAAGAGGCUCUCACUUUCAUCAAAACAUACCAUACCGCAUGUCAUACCCCAAAAUUUUCCUAUUUUUUUUUAUUUUAUCUGGCCCAUAACUCAUUUCAUCUGCAUACUCAUUAUCAUUUAAGUCAUUCUUUUGCAAUUAUAAUUUUUGGCAUCAUUUGAUUCAGAGGUUACUUCUAAUUUAAGAAAUAAGGCAUUGGAUUAGGGUUUGCAAGAUUGGUUCAUUAUACUGUGUGUUAUGGACAUAAUAGCUAGUGGCUAAAUCUCUCUCUUGGAUCCUAAUUGUGGCCUAUGAUAUUUGUGGAUCAUUGCAAUUCAAACAUGGGAGGUUGCCCUUUUACAUUUGCCAUUAUCUGUUGAAACCCCGCAAGGUUAGUUUGUUUGGUUUUCUUCGGUUGAUGCAAGGCAUUGCAAUUUAAAGCUCAUUCAUUCAAGUUCAAGGUCAUAUGCAAGUACAAGAUCAAAUUCAAACUCAAACUUUUGGAGGGAAGCUACCUUUCUUAAAACACAAGUUAUAUAACCCAUUCAAAGGUCAUUUUCAUUAUCAAAACAUGCAUUUCACAUUACAAGUCCAUACAAAAGUACAUCAUUUUGGCCUACUGUUAAAUUUUGGUCAACUAUUGACUUUUUUGUCAAACAAUUGACCAAAGUCAACUAACUAUCUUAAACCCUAAUUCUACUUUUUCCUUCAUUCAUAAUCCUUCCCAUGUUUGUUUAAAUGUCUUUUUGGGCCAUGACCUCUCCAUGUUCCAUGACAAUCUUUAUUCAUGCCUUCAUGACCAAAAUGUCAUGCCAAAACAUUAUUCCAUUCCAUGAUCCCACCAGCUCUGCAAAAUCGCAUACAAUGCACAAUUAAGAUUCAUGCCCAUACAUGGAUAAACAUAACCAUAUACACAAUCCUUAGCCAUGACAAGUAUAACUCAUGCAAGCAUAGCCAUGAUAGUUACACAUACAUAGAUCCAUAACCAAAAAACGCAUCAAACAAUACCAUAACAGUCCAAAUAACUCCAUAAACGAUCAAAAAGCCAUGUCAGUUCAAACAAUGGCAGCCUAACUCUCAAACUUCAAUAGUCAAGCUAAUUGUUUUUCAUUACAUCAAACUAUUUUCAAUUCAAACUUCAAAAUGCUAACAAUUCAUCCACAUAAACUAACUGCAAGUUCAAUUCAAUUAACAAUUUGACUAUUUCACAUUCCUAACUAAAAUUCAAAAGAGCAUUAAAACUUGAACCGACAUUCUAACCAAAUGUAUAAUUAAAAUCAUAACAUUAGCAUAAAAACCAACAUGAUUAGCUCAUUUUCUAUUAACAGCCUGCAAAUUCCUCUAACAGUUCAUGAUGUAACUAAUUCAAACUAUCAAAACUUCAAACAAAGUUCCCACUGUCAACACCAAUUAACUCAAAUAAACUAAUCUUAGCAUCUCAUUUACAAAUCCUUACUAACACAUUCACAAUUCACUAACAUAACUUCAACUCUUCACUGACACAAACUAACUUCUUCAUAACUUCAAAAUGUCAACCUAACAACCUCACUAACUUCAUUCAACUAAUUCAAUUCGAACUAACAUAACAACGCUCUUCAUAACUAACCUUAACAGAAAAUCAAAUCUAACACAACUAACACUCCAAUCAUCCUCUAACUUACUUUAACAGAAACAGUUUCACAAUGUUAACUCAAAACAACUUCCUUCAUUGAUCUUCAUUUGAAUCUAACUGUGCCAUAACUUGUAACAACCUGCCCCAUAGCUUUCCCGAAUCAGUUAACAAUCUCCUCUACAUAACCUUCACUCACCUUCAUUUCAUCAUCAACAAUCAUAUUCUGAAUCACUCUCAAUCUCCUUGAAGCACUAUGAGAUUUCUCUCUGAAGCUCUCUCUCUCUCUCUCUCUGUAUUUUCCCCCUCUACUUCAUCAUUAUCCUCUCAUGCGUAUGUAACAACAACAACACAGAGCAACAACAUCAACAAUAAUCGAUUUCUCCUACGAACUAAGAAUUCGAAAAAGGAGAAGAAGAUUACACCGAGUUCUAAUUACUGACCUUAUUUGAAGUUUCUCUAGUCUUCUUCGUCUCCACCAAGCUUUGCAUUCAACGAACUCCAAGGCCAUCUCUGCCUUGAAAGUAAGUGCUUCAGAUUUUCUUUGUUCGUUCUUUAAAUUCCGUCUUCACCAUGUAUUAUCAAUGAUUUUGAACUAAUUUUUUGUUUCGGUAGUUAGCGUUCAUCCUUUCUUCGCUUUGAUUUGGAAAAUCUGUGGGAGUUUAGGAUAAAAUAGGGUGAGAUUGAGAGAGACGAGGUUGUGAGGUUCGUUUUGAUGGUGGUGAUGGCCGUUUCGACUCAACUCCGCCGCCUCUGGCGCGACGGUGUACAACUUUGAUGAUGGAACUAAUUAAAGUGAGUGUGUGUGAGAGAGAGAUGAACAAAAAUAACAUGAAAAAUGUGAAAUAAGAUUUACUGAAUGAUCCCUCUUCCCUUUCAUUUCGUAUUGAGCCUCAAAACACAUUAGGCCCAUAUGUCUUGCUACCCAAUGCUCCUGAUCUACUCACCCCCCUGAUGAACCACCAUAACAAUACAACUUUAGGCCUUAACUUGUUAGGCAUAGUGUACCCUCUUCAACAGGCCCGACGCCUCAUUUCCUUAACACACAAUCUAGGGCUAAUGCACCCCCCCUGCAUUUAAUUUUAAGUUUUUUUUUCAUUUUUUAUCAAUUUGAUUUUUAGUCUUUUUUUGGCACACUUUCUUUUUUAAUGCACAUUUUAAUCUUUUUAAAUAUAUUUUAAUCCUUUUUAUAUACAUUUUAAUUAUUUUUCCACACGUUUUAAUCUUUUUUUGUUACACACUUUAAUACAUAAAAAAUACAUUACAUUUUUGUUAAUAAUUAUUUAAUACUUAUAUUUUAAUUAUAAAUUAAUUAGGAUUAGUUUUAGAGUUAAUUCUCAAUUAUUUUCUUUAGAAAUUAGUAUUCAUGAUUAUUCAUUUCUUUAGUCUUUAGUCUUUAGUGCUACAUGUGUGCUUGAAAUAUCUUUAACAUGAUCUUAGUCCCUGAUUGAUUGGUUGAUCAAAUUCAUCUUUGAUCAAUUAAUCACUUGCAUGUAUCAUUGUCUUCUUCUUAUAUCCAAACAAGUGAUCAUAAGUCCCUUGAUCACUUGAUUAAAUUAGAUAUCUGUAAUCGCACUGCACUAGAUCUUAAGUCACACUCAAGUUCAAGACUGCAUCCAUACAAGGCUUUGAAGACUCUAGACGUUAAGACUGGAUCACUGCUUCAACCUUCAAGCAUAAUAAAAUAUUUUUCUUUCAACACUUGCCAGUUACAAUAUGAAUUGUGUGCCACGAGCCUUAAGUAGUGGAGAAGGAAUGUGAGGGAGUAAUUCUAUCCUUAUUCUGAAUAUCUUUGGAUACAAGACACCUAACCCAGUUGUUCAAAGUAUUCACCUUCAUUCAUAGACUUUAGUGCAAUUCAAAUUGAAUAACUGUCAAGUCUUCUCCCCCACAUACACUUCAACAUCAAUUAAACUUGCCUCUUUAGACCAAACACAAAAUUCUUUGGACAUUCAUACCUUAUUUGGGUUAAUCACCUCAUGGUUAAACACCCAUAUUUGAACCAAUACCCUUUUCAUGCAUUGCCCUGUGGAGUUCCGUGCUCCUACAACCCUCAUGUAUUGCCCUGUGGAUCUCCAUGCUCCGACAACACUCACGCAUUGCCCUGUGGAGCUCCAUGCUCCGGCAACCCCCUUUCUUGUAGGUCUUGAUCUUUGGAUCAAGGAAAAAUCCUAUAAUUUUGCAUUGGCCACAACAUUUAUUGGUUAACGCCACACUCUUUGGUUCAUACACACAUGUCCCAUGGGUUCAAACCACAUAUUCCUGGUCCAAACAACACUUUCACAACAUCCACAUAACACUUUCCUCAUUUCACAACUCUUUUGUAGUUCAAGUAACUUUCUUCUUUUAAUUAAAUUCAAGCAACUAUUUCUUUUUCUUUUUAUCACACAAACCUUUUUUAGAACAACUUUUAUUUUCAUAAAAGAACUGUUAUAAUUUGUUCCUUAGCAGUCCGACUAAAAGCUAAGAGCAUCCGAACAAGGAUCAAAAUCAGCUAAUGUCUACAAAAUUCUAGGAUACAAUUAUAAUUGUUCCCUAAAAACAAAAAACACAUCCGUAUUUUCUACCAUGAACUAUAGAGCUCUACUUUACUUAUUACAAUAUAAGAAUAAGUAGGCAGGAAGGUUCAAAUCUUUGGCGAGCACAUUAAUUAUCAAUUUUUUCCCUUUAUCAUUUGCAAGUAACCUUUAGAUAUAACACUCAGUCAUGCAAAGAACAAUCAAAAUGGCCCCUGUUAAGUACAACAGAUGUGAGGGGUGCUAAUACCUUCCUCUUACAUUACUGAUUUCAUUACCCGUUUCUCUUUCCCUUGGGGAUUUCAUAAGCAAGUCAAACCUAGUUUUGUUUCUUUCCUUGCAUGUUUGGGUGUUUAUCUUUGUUACGUUACUUGCUUUAUCUUAUUGCAUAUUUAUUUACCUUUUAUCUGCUUUGUUUUUAUUGCAUCUUUAUUGCUUUUAUAUAUUCAUUAUAUUCUAGAUAUUUGUUAUGUUCAUUCAAGUUUGGUGACGACUCUGUUAUAUCUUCGAGCGUGCGAUACACUCAAGUAUUUUUCGCGGCGCGAGACCACCUUUGGUCGGUAUUCAAGUGAUGACGAGAUUAAAGAUUAUCUCAAGCUUGGAACUCGGUAUACUAGUUUCGGCCUGAUGAGAUACCUCGAAGAAGUACCAAUCUUAUGGAUCCGCUUGAUACGAGUAAGUAUAGAUGGGUGGAUUUCAAAAUAUUGAGAGCUCUCUCUAAUAAGAAUGAAGACCGAGAGAGAGAGAGAGAGAGAGAGAGAGAGAGAGAGAGAGAGAAUCGAAGAGUUUAAAAUUUCUGGAAAAUACCUUCAAUGAAGGUCUGAAUUCAAAUGAUCUUGCUCUUGCUUGUGCUUGAUCUCACUCCACUUGCUUGCAGGAGAAGGAUUGAAUGGUUUAGAAGCUAUGGAUUCCUGGAGAAUUGAAUUCCAAAACAGUGGAGAUUCAAGCUCAAAUUCAAGAGAAUUUUUCAGGCUUAUCCUUUGAGAAUUGAGGGUUUGAAAUAGGGGAUCAAAUCUGGUGCGAUUGUGUGUGUAUUUCUGAGCAAUUGAAGCUCUAUUUAUAGCUGAAAUGGUUGAUAAUUGCACUCUCUAAUUCACUUUCCAAUUUUGGAAAAUGGUGAUGUAAUGGUGCAUGGGCGCGCAUAGGCCCAUGAAAUGAUUGUUUGAGGUCCACAAAUGAACAUCAGAUGCUCUAAAGUAAGCUUGGAUUGCAAGGAAAAUGCACAUUGAUGUUUGAAGUUUGAUCCAUGCUAAGUGAUGUCACCAUGUUUAAACCAUACGCAACCUAUACAUUUCUUGUCCAAAAUGAAUGAAUUUGAACUCUUUGGAAAGGUGAGAUCAAGAGGAACAACUUUCAUGUUCAACACUUUUUCAUUUGGAGCUUAGAACUUGGAUAAAUUUGAGGUGGAAGUUUGGAAAUUUUUUACAUAUCAAAAUUUUCCUAAGUGUCAAGCCAUAUGUCUCAAUAUUCCACCUUGCUUAACUUUUUACAUGAGCUUCAAAUGAGAAAAGUGUCUUCAUCAAAGUUGUAGAUAUAUCAAAUAGCUUCAAAAUAGUCACCAAUUUAAUAUCAUUUGGAUUUGAAAUGAUAGAGUUAUGCAUUUUUGAAGUUUGGAAAAAUCACCUGAUCAAUGGUAUAGGUCAAAAGUGACCUAUAAUGUAGCCUCAUAUCACAUGCUCAAAAAAGUUGAAUUAGCUCCAACUCCAAACAUAAAAUUUGAAGUAGACUCACUGAAUUUGAUUGUGCAACUUGGAAAUCUUUCAUCUCAUAAAAAUUGAGCAAGUUAUGGCCUUGGGAAGUUGACUUUCAAAUUAGGGUUUAGACAAAAUGACCUAUAAUGUUUCAACAUAGAAAAUGAUUUUCAAGAAAAACUAGAUCUAGGUCUCAACAUGAAAGUUGUUUGGAAUGUCAUUUAGAGUAAGUUUCUCUGUUGGAAUAAUUUUCAUAUGGUGAAAUUGUAGGAGAUAGGGUCUAGGGAGACCCAGUUUGAUUAGAUGAAUUCAUCUGGCCAACCACCAUCAACCAACUGCUAAUUUCAAUUCUCUUGACUUUAUUGGCUCAUGAUAUAUUAUAUAUGAAUAAGAUGAUGCAUUUUGAAGUGUCCUGAGUAAAAUUUGAUCAAUUGGUGAGAUAGCUUAUUGGAGAAGUUACUCAAGAUACCCAGUCAAACUAGGGUUUCCAAGGCAAAUCACCCUCAAACUCUUGAAGAAAACUUGAUCAAUAUAACAUGUAGAGAUCAUUGAGACUCAUAUAAGAUAUUCAUAACUAUUAUUGAAUUAAUUCUUGGGGUUGCUCUUUGUUCAUGAGGGUCUCAAACCCUAGAUGUGAACUUGACGAAUAAAUGAGAUCAUGCCCUACCUACAAAAGAGUUAGAUAAAUGCAAAGACAUGUUUUUGGUAUUUUAGUUAGUAAAAUGAUAAUAUACAAGUAUGAUAUAAUCACAAAGUGCUUGGUGAUCUCUCCCAAAACAAACCCAAUGAAGUAGGGGUAAGGAGUAUGCCAAGAUAUGAUCCCAAUGCUAAUGCUUAUGAUGGAAUUGCAUGAGGAAUCUUAGGGUCAAAAUUGGGAUCUUACAAGGAUCACUCGGUAAAAUAACUUUGAUACCCCGAACUUCGAUCUAGUGUUUAGGACUUUGGCCCAAUGAUAGGAUUGAUGCUUGAUAAUGGGAGUAAGAGGGUCGGGUGGAGAAUGUUUUCAUUUGUUUGAUCAUGCAUCAUGUAUAUGAAAGGUUAUAUUAGGACUUCGGUCCAGUCUUGAGGACCACUCAGUAAAAUAAUUCUGAUAUCCAGGAAUUUGGUCCAUUGUUUAGGACUUCGGUCUAGUGUUGUAGGAUGGUACCACAUGUAUGGAAGUAUAGGAAAUAUGAAUUGCAUAAUGACUUUGCAUAUUAUGCAUUUGGGUUGACUGAAUAUGAUUGAUAUGAAUUAUCAUUGUUGUUUAUACACCGCUUAAAUUGUGGAAUGUACUCUCACCCCUUUCUUGUCUCUAUGUUUCCACCUUUGUACUUUAUACGGGUAAUUCUCAGGUUGACACUGAGGAGUGAUAGCCAUGUGUUUUGCAGAGGAUGAUGUAGUUGGCCUUUUUAGUAGUUUUAUUUAUGUUUUAUAAUCGUCGUACCUUUUAUCGAUUUUGUAGUAUUCUAAGUUGUUUUGAAAUAAUUGCUUAUGUUAUGUUUUUGAAUUGAAAUUUCACCUUUUGGAAAUUAAAGUAGAAGUUGUCAAUGUAACACCCUUCUUUUUAUCUUCAUAUUUUCCAUAAUGUUUCAUAAAUGGGGUUUAGGGUGUUACAACGACAGCUGAAAGGAUCAGACCCAUUAUGGAAAGAAAUCACAAUAUCAAACGACUAGAUUUCUACUCAUGGAUACACACCAACUCGAGUGCACUCAAGUACUCUGUGAAUUGCAACAUACCCUAGCUGGUCACGUCACUACACAUGUCAGAAAAUGGUUACGAAGCGUUUCAAUGAUAGAACCUCAUUAAAUGGGAUUGUUUCCCAUUACUUGUUCAAAAAUCGAUCUCAAACGUUUUAAUUUCCAUUUCACAUCACACCACAUCAUGGAGGUCGGUCAAUGAUACUUAAGGCUUUCCUUGGCUCCUUUAGUGUCCGACAAGUCCUUAAGGGUAACUGCUCUGGACCGACCAAAUGCCCAAUCUAUCUCAAAUCCAUUUCAUUUGAUCCAAGGUAUAAAAUCAGUUCAAGCACAAGAGCAAGAUACAAUCUCUGAUAUCCUCUAUCAUUACACUUAUUUUGAAUCUUGAAUUGACUUGGACGUUGGAGUGUUAACCAUGUAGGUCCAUCCCGCACCACCGUAAAAGAGAUCGAGCCACCAUUCAAAAUCAUUAGUUUUCCAACUGCAUUCGUUUAUGAUUCCCGAACGAAACAAUGUCUAAGUUGCAUAUGAGCGAAAAUAUGUUCUUGAUUCGAAAAAACAUCAUGUUCCAUACAAACACAUAAUUCUGUUGUUGCAAGAAUAAUAUCUUGGAAAUGUAACGGAUCACACAAAUAUAUAGACAAAAAAGUAUGUAGCAAAAAGAGGUUAGAUGUAUGUGUUGCUCAUAAUAUCUUAGUUAAAUAAUAUUUUUUGACUAUGAGCAACACAUACAAGACAAGAAUAAUAUCUUAGUUAAUAUUUCCUAUUACAUUUGUCUAUAUAAAAGCCAAACAAACAAAUAAUUUUUAACGAAGAAUUUUUGUUGAAUAUUACAUAAGGUGAAAGAAUUGUUUAUUAAAAUUUUGGAUUGGACUACUUUAAUAUACGUGGCUAAAUUAAUUUAUAAAACACGUAGCUAAAUUAACUUAUAAAAUAGAAAAGAUAUGUUGACACUUAUUUUAACAUAUACGCCGUAUUUUUAUACAUAAAAUUUAUUAGUUUUAUUUUUUAAUAAUUUAUUUUAUUUUGGUUUUUGUGCAAGGUCAUUUGGUUUGUUAUUAUAUACUGCGUAUAGAAAAAGUUCAAAAUAGCACCUGUUUAUAAGAUUAAUAGUUGAUAUUUCAACAUUUGAUAUGGAUAUACAAGUAGUAUUCAUAUUAAUUUUUAAACAAUAAUUAAAUUCAUGUCUUCAAACAUAACACGAUAUAGAUGUUGAAAACUUCAAUAAAGACUAAUCAAAUGUCGCAAUUUAGCUAGACCAGGAACAUGCAGUAAGGUGGAAGUUACUGGUGGAAAAAUAAAGUAAAUAACGGUUGAAUUGAUCGUAAAUAUCAUAAAUACUUUGGUCCUGUUUUGAAUCUAUGUCCUAGUAUUUCUCUAGUCUCUAGCUUGGCUAUUGAUGUGGACUUUCAACAACAUUAGGAAGGGGUCGAAUCAAUUUACAUCGGAAAUGACAUAUAGUUAUAACAAAACGUACUAACAAAAUAAUGUUGACAAUAUAGUUAUAGAUAACAAGUAUACAAUCUAAAUAGAACUAGGAGAGGACAAUGAAUUUUUUAUAGUGGACGAAAGUAUUGGAAACAUUAUCAUAAAUCAAAAUUGCUUAAAGAGUAUCAUAACAUGAGUAAGUCUAACAAUCUAUAUAUUUUUAUAUAAACAACAAGUUUUGAACAUAAAUAAAAAUGUAUGAAUUUUGAAAUAAUUUCAAGUUGUUGAACACACUCUUUCUAACAUGUUAUUUCCUUUCACCGAUGCCUAAACAUGAGAAAUCAGGUUCAAGAUUGAUAUUUUGCGAGAGUUAAAACUCUUCUUAGUGUAUGUUUGAUUUAACUUUUGAAAAAAUCAAAAAUAAUUUUAGAGGUGUAAAAUUAAUUCUUAAGUAAUUUUGAAGUGUUUGGUUUUCUAAAAUAAAAUUGGUUCUGCUUGUACAAUUUAUGCUACUUGAAGUUAGAAUUGUAAAUGAGUUUAAACAUGACGUUGAAAUUUGUUGUUAAGCUCACUUUUACAUAAAUAUAUUCAAAUAUAAAUCAAUUAUAUUAAUAUUGAUGUAGAAUUAACAUCAUAUGAAAAGAGAAAUAUUAUUCAAUGAUAUUAUGAGUAUACAUAAUAUGUUUAUAUAUAUAGUCAGAAUAACAAACUUUCCUAAUUAGUAGGAAAGCUAGUAAAAACUAAUUAUCCUAAAAUAAACUAACUUAGAGAAAUAAAACGAAAAUAAUAAUUAUAAUAUAUUCGUCUUUGAAAAAAUCAACAAUCUUGAUUCAGGUGUGUAUUGGAAAUAGUUUUAUGAUUUCUACUUCAAUCUUUUCACGAGUAACGUGACAAUCAAUUUCAAUGUGCUUCGGUCGCUCAUGAAAGGAAGGAUUAUGCGUCAGGUAAAUUGUAGAAUUGUUUUCACAAUAAACAGAGGUUGGUUGAUUGAAUCAGUGAUUCAACCCUUUAAAUAAAUUAUGUAGCCAUUGUAUUUCACAAGCCAAGCUCGCCAACGCCCGAUAUUCCGCUUCAGAGUUGCUCCUAGAAACCAUGUGUUGCUUCUUUGAUUUCAAUGAGAUGAGAGAGGAUCCAAGAAAAUCGGAUAUCAUGUAAUUGAUUUUCUGGAAAUGGUGCAAGUUGUCCAAUCAGAAUCUGCAAAACCAGAUAAAAGUAAAUUAGUAGUGGUGGAAUAAAAAAUACAUGUUGUUGGGAAAGUUUUUAAAUAUUGUAAAACACGCACAUCAACUUUGAAGUGAAUAACUUAUGGGUUAGAAACAUAUUGGCUAAGUUGCUUAAUAGUAAAGGAUAUUUCAUGUGGAGUAGUCGUUAAAUAUAACAGCCAGUCAAUAAGUCAUUUGUAUUGAAUUUCAUCCUACUAAGGAGAAGAACUUGUACAAUCAAGCUUAAGGGAAUGGUCAUAUGGGGUUUUGGAGGGCUUGGUAGCAAGUUGUCCAGAAUCUUCCAAAAGCUCUAAUGUGUAUUUCCUUUGAUUAAUUAGAAUGCCUUUGAAAGAUCGGGUAACUUCAAUGACAAGAAAAUACUGAAGGUUCCCUAAACCUUUGAUUUCAAAACAGUCAUGAAGGAAAUAUUUGACAAAAGAAAUUUUAGCAAAGUCAUUUCCAGCCAAGACUAUAUCAUCAACAUAAAUAAGCAAGUCAAUAAAAGAUGAGUUAUGAUUUUUAGUGAAUAAAGAAUAAUCAGUAAGAGAAUGUUUAUAACCAAUGAAAAGCAAAGAAUCAAACAGCUUAGCAUACCAUUGUCUACUAGCUUAUUUUAGUCCAUAAAUAGACUUUUGUAGCUUGCAGGCUUUGUUGUUAGCAGAGAGAGAAUUAGAUAAAACAAGACCUUUAGGUAAGGUCAUGUACACUUAUUUGUGUAAAUCUCCAUGCAGAAAAGCGUUAUUUACAUUUAAUUGUUCUAAAAACCAACCUUUAAUGGAAGCUAAAGCAAGAAGAGAUCUUACUGAUGUGAGCUUUACAAUUGGAGAAAAGGUGUCAAAAUAAUCUAUACCUUCAACUUGAAUGUAGCCUUUUGCAACGAGGCGCACUUUGUAAAGUUCUAUAGAGCCAUCUGCAUUGUAUUAAUUGAGUAAAACCAUUUUCAAUCUAUUGACCUUUUGUUAGGUGGUAAAUCAAUGAUGGACCAAGUGUUUGUAGAACUUAAGGCAGCUAAAUCAAUUUUCAUGGCAUUAUUCCAACAUUCGGAUUGAGAAGCUUGUUUGUAGGAUUUUGGUUCAGUGGUAGAGGAAAUUGAGAGGCAAUUUUUUUUAAAAGUAGCAGAGAAAUUAUGAUAGGUUAGGACAAAGGAGAUAGGGUAGGGAGUAUCAUUGGAAAUUGUGUUGGUUAUAGGGUGGUUUUAAAGAAGGUUGCAAUGGUAGUCAUUAAGGUAGCUUGGAGGGCGACUAGUUCGGGUGAAAUGUCUUAAGGAGUUUUCAACAUGAAUAAGGGUUUCAGUUGGAAGAUUUGUGUUACGGGAGGGAGUAUCAUGAUGAGGUUGAGUGAUGAUGGUGUGAGGGGGAAGAGGGGGUAAGGUAUUAAGUAAGGGGGUUUAUUAGGGGUGACGGGUUCAAAAUCCAGUUCAGAUAGAUGAGGAUUAGGUUGAUGAGAGGUGUUUGUGGGAUUAUGAUUGAGAUGAAAAGGAAAGACAGUUUCAUAAAAAAUAGUAUUCCUGAAAACUAAGAAAUUAUGUGAGUGCAAAUCAUAUAAAAAGGUAUCCUUUUCUUCCAUUUAUAAAACCUAGAAAAUGUGUUUUCUUAGCAAAGUGUCAAAUUUAGUCAUUUGAGAAAUAAGUGUGGAAGAAAAAUAUAGACAACCAAAAGUUUUUAAGUGUAACAAAGUAGGUGCUUUGUUAUAUAAAAGUUGGAAAGGAAAGAGCAUGAGCCAUAUUUAGGAUGUGUUGUUGUUUCCUUUUAACUAAACUAUUUUAUUGAGGACAUUUAACACAAGAACGUUAGUUAAGAAUGCCCUUAGAAGUGAAUAAAUCAUGCAUCAGAAAUGCAUUCCCAUUAUUAGUUCUAAGACUUUUUAAAGAAGUGAAAAAUUGAUUAUGAAUGAAGGAAAUAAAUGUGGAAAUAUGUUUUUUGGUUUCAAUUUUAUGUUUCAUUAAAAUAAUCUAAGUAAAAUGACUAAAAUCGUCAACAAGAGUAAAAAAAUAGCUAUGACCAUCAAUGGAGAGGGUAUAGUAAGGCCCCCAAAUGUCAACAUGGACAAGGUCAAAAUAUUUAGAUGAAGUGUUAUUGCUAACAUGGAAAGGCAACCGUUUUUGUUUGGAAAAGUGAAAAAUGUCACAGAGACCAAUUUUAUUAAAGGGGUAAAGGGAAAUUGAGUAGCAAUACAUUUGUGUACAGAAUUAGAGAUAUGUUCUAACCUGUGAUGCCAUAAAUUGGCAUUGUUCUUUAUUGAGGAAAUAUUAGUAGUAAGGGAAGGAAAGAUAUUAUAAGAGAGGUGUGAAGCAUAUAAGACAUAGAGAUCACCCAACCGUUUAGCUAUACCAAUCGGUUUCUGGGACAAAUUCUGCAAAAUUAAGCACUUGUUGGCAUGGAAAUUAAAAAAACAGUCACAAGAAAAGGUUAGUUGAGUUACAAAAAUGAGAUUAACAUUAAACGAAGGAAUAUAAUAAAUAGAAUUGAGGUUAAUAAAGUGUGAAAGGAUGACAGUUCCAUAUAUUGUAGCAUUGGUUGUUUGACCAUUCAACAUUUUCAUAGUGAAAGAAGGAAUGGUUUGAUAGGUUGAGAAAUUGGUUAAGGAAUAAGUUGUAUGGUGUGUGUCGUACCCCAAAAUUUUCCCUCCCCUUUUCAUCUUUACAUUCAAUCUAUGGCUUAAGAUUCAUCUAUACACAUUCAUCCGCAUUCAUGUGCAUCACACAUUCAUUCUCACAAACAUCAUAGAUUCAAAGCUCGUGAAUAACAUAAUUUGGUCUUGCUUGAUCUUGGGGGAUUACGUCUUGAUAUUUCAUGCUUAAACCCUAAUGUGCUUGGAUCUUGUCCUAGAUGAAUCUUUUGAUCCAUAAAAUCCUAAUUGUAGGAGUUCAUCAUGGGUGAUUCAUUUGGUGACCUUGUUUUGGGCUCAAACCCCUAAUGUUAGUGGCAUAUGAUUUGAGUUGGUUCCUUGAGCCUUGACCCUUAUUCACCUAAUCUUUCAGUUUGAUCAUAGAAAUCCUAAUCUCACGGGCCAUUUGGUUUGGACAUACUUGCAAAGCCUUAUAGCUUGAUAUGUGACCUUUGGUCAUAGGGGUUGCCUAGUGAUCUUGGAUUGGGCAUGAAACCCUAAUUGGGGAGGUCCAACCUUUGUGAUUUGCAUCUUGAUAUUUGGAUUUGGUUUGAAACCCUAAGUAUGGAUGCAUGACAUUCGAUGACCAUAUGGUUAUAUUAUAACCCUGAUCAUGCCAUUCAUGUUCAUCUGUGGGACAUGUUUUGUCAAUCAUGCUUGAUGUUUAUUUGGUCCAAGGCCUGAAUGCUUUCAUAUUUUCAUUCAAACUCAUAGCUCAUUGAUUCUUAUUUCAUCAGUACACUCAUAUUUGAUUUGUUCAUAAUGAAUAUCUUGAAUUUAAAUAUGUUUUUUUUGGGAAAAUUCUCAUUCUUUUGAAAAUAAAGCAUGGAUUUAAGAAACAAUUUUUCAUCUAAAAAUUAUCUAUUACACUACAUUCAAAUGACCCAACUCCGUGAAAUUACAAAAAAUGAAGAUUUUGGUAUAGUUGACUUCUUAGUCAAAUGUUGACUUUUAGUCAAAUAUUGACUUUUAAUCAACUGUUGACUUUUAAUCAACUGUUGUCCUUUAGCCAACUGUUGACUUUUAGUCAACUACAUGAUCCUAAAACCCUAAUGAAGCUCUUUUGCUUUCAUAUUCCACCAUGCCUUGAACAUCUUUUCAUGCCAUGUGUGCCAUAACCUCUCCAUGUGCCAUAACUUCCUUCAUGUGCUAGCAAGCCAUCACUCUUGAAUGUCUUGAUAGCACCACUUUAAUGCCUUUAAUUCAUGACCAAAGGCUAAGCAAGAUCAUCAUUACAACAACCUGUAUUCAAUGUUCAAACAUCAUCCAAUCAAGGUCUUUUUUCAUGAAGGGCACAAACAAACUUCAAUAUGGCAUCAUGUAUACAAGUUACCAAUGCAUAAGUACUACAUCCAAGUUUUGUCAACAUUCUAUCAUCAACAAUAAGCAAGUAUCAUAACACACAUUAAUCAAAUCAGUGGCACAUUUUCAUGAAUAACCUGACAAUGAAACAAAGCAUAACAUUCCCACAUUCUUUCAAUUCAAACCAAUAUUCCAAUUCAUUCCCAAUGCAAAAAUAAGGAUAUAGCAGUGCAUUUCAAAAAGGGGGAGGAGUGGUUUUCUGUUGCAACCAUUUAAUUGUCCAUUUCAAAUCUCAACUUAUAACUAAUUUAUAACCAACUGAUUUCAUGACUGGACUAAUUUUAGAUGAAUUUAACAGUUUAACAAUAAUUUCCAUUUGAGACAACUAGCUUAAAUAAUCUCUAACAGAUUCUAUAACUAACAAAUUGCCAUAACUCACCAUUAAUUAUUAGCAGACCAACAUUAACACCAUCGAUUUCUAGCUAAUGGACUACAUAACAAGCCAUUGAUAUAAAUCCUUAAUAGAACAACCAGCAGACCAACAAAUUUCAGAAUAUGUCAUUAGCACGUGAUUUAACAGAAGCCAAUAAUAUCAUUUAACAAAAGACUUCAGUUUCCGACUAACUGAAAAAUAUCAUGUGAGUUUAAUUCUUUUUGAUAACUAACAUAUCCUAACAUAACUAAUAACUUUUAAUUGUCAUUUACCAACUAACUCUAACUAGCAUUAACCGAACCAAUAACCUGAACCAACAUUAAGUUAAUGGAACUUAAAACUAGAGUAUAACUAACCUUGCAAAAUCACAUGCCAGAAGGAGGUCUGAACACUUAGCUUCUAAUCAUAAUUCGGACCUCGCCAAACAGAACAAAUUUUGCAUCCCACCACCUACACGAUUAUGUUUAACAGAGGCUUAAAAUAUAUUGAAAACAGACUAACAUAAAUGAUCUAGAACUAACUUCAUUAUUUCAAAACUAACAUUUUAACAACAUCAUAACAGAAUUUCACAUCAUUAGUUAACUUCUAAUAGAUUUUCAUCGCAACCUAACAGAAAGUUAACCGUGCCCUAACUUGUAACUAAUCCUGCCCGAAAUCUUGCCCUAAUCUGUCACAUUUCCAGCUCUAUAUAAUCCAAUCAUUAUCCCUAAUUAACGGUUAAUCACAAUUCAAUCACUUCUUGACCAUAUUCACUCGUUUAUCUUCUCCAUUCUCUCUAACGGAAACCCUACUCAGAGCUCUAUUGAGAAUCCAUUGGAGCUUCACAUUGAAGCUCCAAAUGUGGUUGAGCCAAACCUCCUCUCUCUGCACUCGCUGGGACAACACGCGACCGAAUCGCUCCAGAAACGAAAGUGCACCAAAGAAGAAGAAGAACACAACACGCGCGCAAGAAGCAACAGUAAGAAGAAAAGAGCGUAUUACUUGAUUAGAAGCAUUCCUUGUUCGUCUUCUUCGAUCCAUCGCAUCAUCGGAGUGAAGCUCCGAUUCGGAGGUAAGCUCGUCUUCCCUUUUCGUUGGGAAAAUCAUUGCCAUAUCGUAGAUUUUGUCCUGAGAAGCGUUAUCCCUAAACCUUGGGACCAAAUUCUUGAGUUAUCACGGUUUAAUUUCAAAUCUGAAAGGUUAGGGUUCAGGUUUUGUGAGUUUCGAUUUGUCCGUUUGAUGAGGAUUUGGAGGAAAUAAGCUUGAGAUUAUAGUAGAGAGAGGUGUGGCGAUCAGAUUGAUGUAGAUUUUGUGGUUAUUGGUCCUCCUCCGUCGCCUGAUGCGAAUGCUUGCGCCAUAGAGAUAUUGGAUUUCGGCCAAGUGGGUUCGAGUGAUGUCACUUUGUGAAUGUUAAUGAUAAUCAAGCUUGAACCCUUCUUGAGUUUGGCCUGGGAUUGAACAAAGGCUUGGGCCUCAGGCCCAUUACCUCUACCUCUCACACCCCUGGAUUCACGUGCACACCCUUCACUGGGUUGGGGUUUGCGAUUUUGGCUUAAGAGUAUGGGCCAUGCACCCAUCUGUCAUCAGACCUUUGUUCUUCUUAACACACCCCCAUUAGAUGGGCCUUCCCCCUCCUUUCUAAGCCUUUUUGUUUGUUUUGUUUAAUCACAUUUAAUGGCUUAAUUAAAUUCUGUUUUUUUGCUUAAUGUAAUUAAUCAUGUUUGCUAGCUAAUAGAAUGAUCAUAAUUUAGGUUAAUCAUUUUUAUUAGUUAAUUUGAUUUAAUUCAUUAAUUAUGAUCAGUAGAUAUAAUUGUUAAUUAAUCAAUUAAAAUCUUUAGAAAUUUUAGGCUUUAGAACUUGGCCUAAUCUUUUUUCAUCAUAUUCUCGUAUUAUUUCUAAUUAACUAACUGGUUAUUUAAUUCUAAAUAAUCUGGAUUUUUGUUCCCAUUUGAUCCAUUUGUACAUAAUGGCUAUUUUAUCCAUAGGUAGAAAAAUCUUGAAUUUUUUGUAUAUAAUUCCCUUAGUCUAGGGUUUUAAUCAGAUUUGUCUGAUUCUUACUUAGUUGAUAAUUCAAUAGGUUUACAUUGUAUUUAAUAAAACUAUUAUUCUAAUCCCAGUGAUUAGUGUUGACCAAAGAUCACUUUGGUCAACCAAAUCCUUUGCAAUAGGGUUGUAAACCCAACCUAUUUCAAGUUAUCAAAAGACCUUUGAUCCCUUGAUAUGGCAAGUUCAUUAUGCUCAAGCUAUUGUGGAAAUGCUGAAUCUCAAAAGCUCAAGGCCUCAAGGUUCAAGUACAAGCUCAAGACUUCAAGUCAACAUCAGUCAAGCAUAGCUAGCAAAAUGGACUACUUCUCAAGCACUGUAAAGGUGUCAAAACUUGACAAGAGCGAUUCAAAUCAUAAGCUAUAAGCCUUAAGUAAUGAGGAAGGAUGAGAUGGAGUUUCUCCUACCGUUGUCUAGAGUGACUUUGUGUACAGGGUAUUGGCCCUAGCUAUUCAAAGCAUUCGCCCUCAUUCAUAGACUUUAGUUCAAUUUGAGUCAUGCAAUUGACAAGUCUUCUGCAAGCAAGUAUCAAGCUUUCAACACUUCAAUAGUGAAGCAUCAUUGCAAAUCAAUCCUCCUUCGGUAUUAGACCCUCCUCCUGGAUGUUCAUACAUUUCUUGGGAUCAUUAUCUUGGGGUCAAAUACCUAUUUCUCAAUCAAUUGCUCCAUGUAUUGCCUAUCAGUUCAGAUUAUG